This 55237-nucleotide long non-coding RNA is filed under the name Ananas comosus (pineapple). RNAcentral describes it as "long non-coding RNA (ACOM_LNC014575)". The record is from RNAcentral. Lineage: Eukaryota; Viridiplantae; Streptophyta; Magnoliopsida; Poales; Bromeliaceae.
UAUCCCUAUCCCUCCAACCAAACGCAGCCAUGAAUAAUAUUAAUAAUAUAUAUUAAUUUUUAAAUAUCUAAAUUUGAAUUCCGAAUUCGAAUCUAAAUUCAAAAAUAUUCUAAUAUAUUCUUAUUCGACUCCAAUUAAAAAAUAUUGUAAAUAUAAUAUUCGAAUCUGAAUCUGAAUUUGAUCGGAUGCAUAAUUUUGACGUCGGUGAUCGGGGCUUAUCCUAACCAUUUUCACCCUUGAUCCUAAAACCUGAUGGAUGUUAUAAACCUGGCUAAUCAGCUUCUGUUCUCUCUGAAAAUAGUACUAGCAUUUUUAUUUUUUUUUUCAGUAUACACAUAGCAUUUCUAUACUGUGUAAACAAAAAUAAAAAAAUAAAAAAAAAUAAAAACUUAAUUAAAAAAAGAAAAAGGAAAAACUAAAUGGACCUAAAAGGCCCAAAGUUGUCUCGGAUGGGCCUCUCUUUCUCUCUCGGUUAGGGAUGCCGACGGGUCGGAUUUUUAACAAUCCGAAUCCAAAUAUGAUAGAAUUUGAAAAUCUGUAUCCAAAACUAAAUCCGACCAAAAGCUCAAAAUUCGAAUCCAAACCCGAAAAUCUAAAUUCGAAACAAUUAUUUCUCUUCACCUUAUUUCAAAACAUAUAUUAUAUUUAAAUCUAAAUAUUCAAAUAUAAAUGUAAAUAUAACAUCAAUUAUUUAUAUGUAUAUAUUAUAUAUUGUAGAAUCUAUUCCGCUGCGGAUCAUGUACAGAUAAAAUUCAUGUCGCUCGAACUCGUCGGAUUUUCAUUUUUUUACAUCUGUAUUUGAAACCAUAUUCAUUUAGUAUCCAAUAAAUUUGCCUCGUUUAUGUUCAUGCUUAGGAUUUAAGAUUAAGGAUUCGGAUUCGGAUAAAAUUUUGGAGCAUCUGUACCCAUUCACAUCCCUACUCUCGGUCUCUCUCUUUUCUUUAAAAAUGUCAAUGGGUUGGAUUCAGGACGAAUGUUUAAAGUAUCUGAACUCGAACUCGAACUCGAACUCGACUAUCAAAUUCGAAACCCCAACCUGCAUUUGAAUUCGACGGAUUAUAAAAAAUUCAUAUCCAAACGUGAAUUCGAUCAAAAGUUUGAAAUCCAAACACAAAUCUGAAAACCCGAUGAAAUUUUUUAUUUUAAUAUUCAUAAUAUUCAAAAUUAUAUCCUUUUAGAAUCAGAUAAGUCCGUUCUGUUCGGAUUCGGGUCCGAAAAAAAAAACCGGCUAUCCGUAUCCAUUAACAUCCCUACUUCCCUUCUCUCUCUCUCUCUCUCUCUUAAUCUCUCUCUCUCUCUCUCGCGCUUGCGCCGUGAAUUCCCGCCGAUCCGCCGCCAUUGAUGCGAUCGAGGAGGUAAGCCUCGCUCUCUUCCUCUUCUUCUUCCUCUCUCUCUCUCUCUCUCUCUCUCUCUAACCCUUCUAGGGUUUCUUUGCUUUUCUUCUCUUUUCUUUUUUUUUUUUUUUUUUCAAUAGUGAUCCCUUUACGUUUAUCGAACUUGAGUUUUCUCGAUUCACGCCAUGUGGUUCAUUCACUGGAAUUGAUGAUGCAUCUCGACUUUAAUUUUGUAUAUGUUCGCUGCGGACCUUUCAAAAUUAAGCACGAUUCGAAUCUCAGAUGAAUUGGUUAUGGCGUAAUCUUAGUUUCCACGAAUUCGAAGAUGAUUUUAAAUUUUGGUUAAAUGCACCGCUCUUUUGCAAAUAUAGCCACUAGGGUUUUAAAAAUCUUAUAUUUUCCGCUUCCCAAAAUUUUUAUUUUUAUUUUUUUUUGCAGUUUAAAUUACCUAUGUUCGUGUUCCAUCAGUUUAAACCGAGCAAAAUUAGCCAGAUGAUCAAGAAAACAAUAAAGGACGCAGUUUCUUAUCUCAAAAUUUAGUCUUGCAGUAAAUUUUUGUUGAUUUUUAGCAUUUGAUUGUAAAAACUUAAAUGUGAUAAUGGUGGUCAAUUUAUGCUAUAUAUGUUGCUCCCUUUGAAUUAGAUGUUUCAUUAUGGGAUUAAUCAGUAAAUAUUAAUGUGUGUAUACUCGAAUUCUGUACAGAUUUUUUAUCAGAAAAUUUUGAAUUGUGCAAUAUUUCUUGAUUGAGUUAUGUUUGAUUAUUAUAUUUUUAGGUUUUUGGUUCGUUUCUGCUGUUUUGCUAUGCUGUUGUCCCAUAAAUGAUGCGGAUGUCAUUUGGCCAUGUUGACAUGUGUUGUAUGUACAAGUUAUUUUUCACACUGGGGUGUUGCGUCUGUGUACUGUCGUAUUAUGAUAUUAUAUAGCAAUAUUGAUAUCAACAAUUUAUCCGUGUGCAAUAUACUUUUGGAUGUAAAUGUCUACUUGUAAUGUCAUUACAGUCUUUUCUGACAUUUGAUAUUCCUAUCGGAUGUUUUAUGUCUCUAAAAAAGGAUGCGUGCGACGCACCGACGCCUCCUUAUAGUCCUCUCCAAGGCGAAAAGCCUCCUUUAGUCUAAUAUAUCUAUUAUACCCUAAACUAGAAGUAAGUUCCUUUAGUUCAUCUGUUAAUACAUGAUGGACAGAAAAAAAAAAAAAGGAGGAGAAAGGUCCCUCUGACAGUCGACGUCCUUAUUGAGUCGUAAGGCUAGUACAAUUCGCUAACUACAAAAGGUAAGACUUAAUAUAGGACAAGUGGUCUAAUUAGGAUAGAGAGAUUGUCAUAGAUCCGUCAACGGUGAACCUGAUUUAUUGAUCUCCUCUCUCAAUGUGUCUGCAGAUAGAUCCGGAGGUAGUUUUUUUUUUUAUUAAACAGGGGUAUACCCUAUUUAAGGAGAUCCGGAGGUAGUUGUAAACUUGUAAUAGUUGUUGUUUGUUCUGCUGCAAAUUUCUAGUAUGUGAUGUGGCCUAUGCUAGUGAUCAUUUUCUGUAUAUGAUAUGAUCAUGCUAUUGGUGAAACUCCUAGGCAGUAUCUAUGACCCAUUCUGUGCUUUUGUUAUGUGAUAUGACUCAUGCUAUCAUAUGACAUGAUCUGCGUCAACGUGGGACUUAUCUGACCAUAGGAAGUUAUCAGUAACUCAUGCUCUGAUGCUUCUGUAUGAUUUAUUUUUUUCCUACAGUCUUGGAACUCGUGAUAAGCUCGUGUUAAAAAUCUAUAUGCUACUCUGCCAUUGUUAUUGUAGUUUUUCAUGUAGAUAAUCUUUGAAAAACAUGAGUUCAUUGAUUUUAGUAGCAUCCUUGAUCUCAUAAUGAGGUAUUACUGCUGCGUGCUCACUUUUCAUAGCAGGACGCCUGAAGAUCCAGCUCUUUAAAAUACGCAAAGGCCAUUUUGUUAUAGACCUCCUUACCAUACGUAAGAAAAUCUCAAAUAUAAUGUGAUUAUUGAUGAUCUAAUAUUUUCUGAUUCUCAGUAUGUUGUUGAUUCAUGAGAAAGUUGAUGACUUCAGUUUCUUAUCCUGAGGAAAAUAACAGUACAUAUGUCAUUGUUAUGCUAUAUAUGUUCUGUGCCAUGGUCCUUCGGGUUACUCAUUAGUAUGUGGAUCUGAUGGCCUAGAAAUAUCUGCACAUUUGAAAUCGGAAGAUCUAUAAUGUAGACAGGUUGGAGAAUUCGAGUACAUAAUGCAAGAAAAAUGAUUGUCUUUUAUGCUACUCUGUUGUACUCUAUUUCUUCCACUAACUACCAAUGCACAACAAUUACUCGAGAAAAACUACCAGGCUCUAAUUUGUUAAAGCUCUGCUUGUUUCAUCAUCUUUCCAAGAAAAUGUGUUCAGCAUGACACAUCCAAUAUACUAACUGAUUAAUUUAUUGGUGUUUCAGGUUUCUACAUCUUCUUCAAGUUAACAUUAAUUGAUCCUAUUUGAUAAUAAAUCGGAGGUUGGUUUCCAUAUGGGAACAGAAGAAUCUAAGGAUUUGCUGAAGAACGUGGACUGGAAAACAGUCGGCAGCACCGUAAGUACCGACUCAAGUGAACCGAUUGUUAAAAAGCGUCUCCCAAAGAAAAUUAGACAAGUGCCCGACUACUAUUUCCUACCUCGACGAUCUCUACCAUCUGCUAUUGCCAUUUACGGUGCUAUUUGUGCUGCUGGAGUUGGUGCUGGGAUGCUAUUAGAGAUUUGGAUAAACAAGAAGAUCAAAGGUGAAUUCGCACUGCUUGUGCAUUUCCGUGCAUAUUUCUUUACUCCAUACCGCUAGUUAAUAGUUAUCGGCUUUUGACUAGUCAACUAUCUAUAUCAAUAAUAGAUUACAGAUUGGGUCUAAUGGUUCUCGAUGAAUUCUUUUCAGUAGUUCAUACAAUCCGCAUCAGAUUUAUUGUUGAAAUCUCUCUGCAGUGAACCACCUUUUUUUGUGCAGUGUCAGAUGUUCUCAACAUUUUGACGAAGCAUCAAAUAAAUACAAUGUAGUUGUCUCCCCACUUUGCUAUGCUGGCAGAUAGUUGAAAGCCUCAGAUAAACAGUAAAUGGUGGUGAAGAAUAAGUCUUUAGGACGGACAUUUGGUGUCUUCUCUAUAGAUUUUAGGUAAAGACCUACAGAACUUAACCGAACUAUGGGCCAUUCUGAGUUGACUAUCGAACCUUUUAAAAUUCUGAUUUUACUCUCCGACCUUUCAAUCUAUUUGAUUUGAGUAAGACAACGGCAUUUUGACUUUAAAAUUUGAAAAUAUCAUUUAUCUUUACAGAUUUAAUUAGUGUACUUCAUGCAAUUCUCGCAAUUAUAAUUUAAUUAAAAUAAAUAGUUUAAAUUUUAUAGUUGAAGUAUCGUUGAUUGGCACAAAUCAAACAAAUUGAAAUGUUGGAUAGUGAAAUCAAAAUUUUAAAGGUUGGGUGGUUGAUUCAAACUUGUUCAUAGUUCAGAUAAGUUCUGUACGUUUUUACAUAGAUUUUAUUUGUACUUUGGAGUUGUUUACUAAGCCACGCCAUCUUUGCAUGCAGAGGACGGCGGCAUCAUCUGGGAGAUGGACAAAUCCUGAAACGUGCGCUUCGUGUUUGCAAUUAUGAGGUAGCUGGAAACAUCGGCAUUGGACAUUUCGAAAUCCAAUGGUGGCCCUUAUGCUUUGUAAUUUUCCUUUUGAUCUUGCUGUAUACAAUAACAAUUCGAUGUUCCGGCCUAGUCUCAUGUGGAUUUGCCAUUCAAAUCCUGUUUGUACCAUCUCACUAGUGAUCAAGUAGCUACUUCAUUUCGCCAUUGGAGUUUUUGGAAGGAGUUGCAUUAAUUUGUACGUCAAAGCAAAGCGCGAACGGAGAUAUGGAUUCAUAUAUCUAGUAUUUGGUAGCGAAGUUCUUGUAACUGGAAUUGUUCCGCAGAUUUCGUUCAGUAUUGUUUAGUGUAAAAUUCUUGUAAAUGUUCCACUGAUAAUUUCUUGAUAAUGCAUUACUCCAUUUAUUAGAACAAAUUUGACAGAAUUACUGAUUUGCGUAAAAUGUACCGUUACCCCCUCAAUUCUACGCAAUUCUGAAAUCGGUCCCUCGACUGAACAUACUUGAAAGGGCUCAUUUUUUUUCGUAUUUGAUUAGAAAUGUCGAGUUAUUUAUAAGUUUUUUUAGCAGGGCCUCGGCUCUGCUAGAGAUUUCUUACAAAUUUUCGUCGAAUAGAUAUAAAAUAAUUCUAUAAUUGUGAUUAGUCAAUAAAACAGUUCGAUUCAACUCUUUGAAUGGAACAAGUCAAAAAAGUGUUUUGAACUGUGUGAACCAACAGUUCAACCAUUGAACCAAUUCGAUUUUAAUCAAACUGAUUGGAUAUAUGUUUAUCAAGGCAAUAACUUAAGUUAGCUAAUUUUAUUUUUUGUUAGUACAAAUUAUUUUUUAUUAGCCAAUAAAAAGUAAAUUUUAGACAAAUUUAUAUCUAUUAAAUUUGUCUAAAAAUUAAUAUAUUUUAUAAUUAAGCAUAAUACUAAAAUAAUACUGUACAUAAACUUUUUUUAUACAAUGAAACUAAAUAAUAAAUAAUAAUAAUUAAAUACUUAUAAUGUCAAUGUUGAUCGUGAUUUUUGACUCCUCAUUCCAUCCGUUCGCACGUGACUCCUCCAAACCCCGAGACCCCUUCAGCACGGUCGCACGUGACAGAUAAGAUAGGGUUAACGGGUCACCGCCUCCGCAAACCCGACGCCAUGAAGCGCCCCCACCACCCAACCUCUCUUCCGACCAAACCAAAAUCGAAACCCUAACCCUAACGCCAUAGCCCUAGAAACCUGAAAACCCUUACCUGAACUCGAUCGGAGGAGCUCGUCGCCGAUGGCGCACGGCGGCUACGCGCGGCGUCGCAUCGAGGAGCGGCGCCCCCUCGGGCGCCGAUCGAAGGGGCUAGGGCUCGACAAGAAGGGGAAGAAGCAGAGGUCGGCGUCCCUCAAGAACCAGAUCCGAUCCACCGAGCGAUUGCUCCGCAAGGUACUCGCAAAACGCUUUCCCCUAGAUUUGAAUUGAAAAAUCCCUUAAUUUCCCCCAAUUUUGGCUGUUGAUUUGAGCUAGGGUUCUGGUUAUUGAUCCCCUUAAUCUGGUAGGUUUUGAAUGAUUAGUGGUAGUUUAUUAAAUGCAGUUCAGAAGCCAAGAAUAGGGAAUUUGGGUUGUGUAGUUUACGUUGUUAAUAAGAUUAUGUUUAAAUGAGAUGUGAAUGCGAUUAAAUUGUGGGUAAAUUGCACCAAAUAAUGCUUUCACUUUUAUUCAAAUAUCACAUUCGUCUUCGGACUUUUUUACGCGAGAUAUAUUCGAUGCCUUGAACAUUAAGAAGUGUUUUGAUUUGCUUCUUAAUUUUUGUUUAGGUUAGAGGGAAAAGUUGCCCACAAUAGAUGCAUUGGUAUAUUCUGACACUGUGAAUUCGUUGGCUUCCAUUAAAUCUCCUACUGAAGUGAACUUUACUAACCUCUCAAUCGACUUGAGAAACUGAAAUUGUUAUUUAAAUUAGUACAUCUCACAAUUUUGUCACUUCUGUUUGGUUUUACAAUCUCUCUGAGAAGCUAUACGACUAUGAACAAGAAGAACUAGUGUAGGCUGACAUCAACUAGUUAAUACACACAAUUGUGUAAAUUUGUUUUUGUUAUCAUAGUUUUUUCAGAUUUUGAUAUCACUAUGGUUCAUGUUGGAAUCGUAAAAUUGUAAAUGCUGUUGUCUUGCUACACUUAUUCGGACUAAUUUUACGACAUUAAUCUUGUAUUCUUCUGUGCCUCUGUGUGGUAAUAUAUUUCUUUGUUGUUUAAAGGACCUCCCUCAUGAAGUCAGGGAAGCUCAAGUCAAGAAAUUGGAAGAACUGAAAAGACAGCAGGAAAUUCAUACUAGACUGGCUAUAGAACGCAAAAUACAGUUGCGAAAUAGAAAAAUAAAAUUCUUUGGUAUUUUCUCAUUUGCCUCGGAGUUCUUCGUAGAAUGAUAUCUUUAAUAUAUAUUCUUUAUAUUGGUCCUACUGUCUCGAGUUUCUUUGUGUUUGAACUAGAGAGAAGAAAGAUAGAGAGGAUGAUAAGACGACUUGAAAAGCAACAACGCUCAUCAUCUGAUCAUGUUGAAGAGGGAAGAAUAUCUGAUCAACUUUCAAAAUUACGAGAAGAUCUUGAAUAUGUUAGGGUAAGCUAAUGGCAAGAAUUUCAAUGAAUAAUUUAUUUAUUUAUUUUAAACAAUGCAUCUGGACAAUUGUUUGGUCAAGUGAUUUUAUAGAAGCUGAGCUUGAUGUCUUUUUUUUUUUUUAUGUCAUCCUUUAUUUGUUUAAUGAAAAUGCAGUCUUAUGACUUUGUCCUAUGUAUUUAAAUCAUGAAUUUCUAAUUAGAGUUUUUUUUUUUUGGGCACCUUGCUUUCACAGUGUUGUUUUAAGUAUGCAAAUGGUGAUAAUUAUGUUUACAUCUGUUUCGGAGUUGAGAAGAGUCUCUUGAUAGCUUAUAUCAAGUUUUUUUUUUUUUUUUUCCUGGUGCAGUUCUUCCCAAAGACAGAAAAGUAUGUACCAUUGUUUGCUGGUGGGGAUAAUCCUACUAUUGUGGAAAAAAGAAAUAAGUUGCGGAAGCAAAUCAAAGACAAUCUUGUGGCUGCUGCAGCUAGCGGGAAAGACUUAGAAGGUCAUCACAUUCUUGAACAUUUUACUUUAAGAUCAUUCUAAAUAGUCUCAUUUUGGUAUAGUUAUGUAAUAAUUCUUGUUCCUUAGUUUUUUUACUGGUGCCUUCCGCUUGUUGUCACUUUAUCCUUUAACCAUUUACUGUGUUUCUCGUUAAAUUCUGUACGUUAGCAGGAUAUAGUUCCUCUUAGCAUCUUCUGAUGUGCUGAAUAGUUUCUUGUUUUCUAAACAGAGACAGCAAGUGAUGAUGAUGCUUUAGACAUGAGCGAGGAUGACUUCUUCAUGUCUGGAAGUUCAAGCGAUGAAGUAGAGGCAGAUGAUGAGUGGACAGACAAAAGUACAAAGUAUGAAAUUUGCAUAUGUUACAUCCCUUUUUUGUUUUUUCUUAUCUUUUCCCCCUGACUCUACAUGAAGAUGAUUGUUUUUAGCUAACCAAGCCUUAGAUCUGUCCCUGCCCCCCUCUUUCCCUCUUUCUCGUUUUUCAGUAAUUUUGGAUUAGUUUGAACAUACUUAGCUGAGAAAGUUUGAACCACAGUGAUCAGUCUUUUUCUCUCUCAACCAUUUAAUAUACAUUAGAUUUCUUCUCAUUGUUUGCUUGGGUAGGCUCUGAAGAUACUUAACUAGAUGCAUCAUUUCUCUAAUCAUAAGGAACCUUAAAGGUAGCUUUUCCAGUUUUAAGUUCUCAUGCUGCAUAUUCUGGCUUCUUUCACCAAACUACCUGAUGCAACAUAAUAAUCUUGAAUAUUUAUUUUCAAGUACAUUCUACAUUUCAUCUUCGCCAAAGUUUUUAGUUAGCUAGUAUUUUUUUUGAAGAGGUAUGGGCUUUUGGAUUAUGGGGUUCAUUAUCUAGUACUAUCUAUUAUCUAGUGCUAGCUUUGUAUCGACACAUAAACACGCUCAUAAGUUAACAGACACUUCCUACAUUUUCUUUAUGUCUCUGUUAGUGUGUGUGUACGGCAUAAUAUGUUAUGAUAAUAGACAAGUCUUUUUUUAAGUUUAGGGUUGUUCUCUUAAAAGUAAACUUACAUUUUGGGACACUCCACGUCACACUUUUGAUAUGAUAGUGUUCCAGUUAUGAUUUGUAAACUGAAAGUAGUGGUUCAGUGAUAGAUAAACUAAGAAUAAAAUAAGUUAUAUGCUAAGACAGUAUGAGUAGCUGGGUACAAAGAACAAAAUAAAUUAUAUGCUAAGGUAUUUGGGAAGCUAUCGAUAUCUACUCUAAAAGGCUUUAGCACAUUAUCAUGUGCUGACAUAUUUUCUAUGUUGUGUUGCUCACAACUGUCAUAAGUGAUAUCCUUGAGAAGGUAUCAUUUAGAUAUCAGAUACAUGACAAACUAGAUCUUAUAAUAUUUUGAUCGGUCAAAAUUCUAAAAUUUGUUCAGCGAAAGUCUUAUGUCCUUUGAUGCUAAUACUUGUGUUACUUUGUGCUUAGGGAGCAAGCAUCCAGCGCUUCUGGGAAAGCAACCUCUGGCAUGUCAAGUGAUGAAAAGAAUCAGGUUUCUUUGCAAUGCUGCUAUGAUUUCUGUUUUUGUAUGUCUGAUGGUUUGCCUUUCACAUUGACUUUGUUAUAUUUUGGUGCAGAGGCAAAUAUCUGCUCGAGUUCUCAUGCCGCCUCCUCGAUCAUUACCUCCAAACAGAGGUAAAUUUAUAAAGAAGUUCGAUAUAUCCACAUCAAGCAACACAUCAAAUAGCACAAGCAGCUCUUCCUCCAAAAAGUGGAGACCAACAGCGAAUGUACAAGGAGAUCAUAGUAGCAACCUGAGUUCCAAUUCUGAUGCUCAUAAAUCACGGAGGAAACGCAGACAUAGGAAGAAGAAGAAACAGGUUUAGUUGAUACUUUGAAAUGAUCAUAUCAUGCUGAACAAAUCCAUCUCUUUGAAGACAACUUUGCUACCUCCAAAUAGUUGUACGACUUCUUUAAUUUAAUGGUGUUCUUGUAUGAAAUUAUGCUUUGCUAUAUUAAGAGAUUAUGAAGGAAAGAAUUCUAAUUAAUUUUUUUUUGUUAAAUUAGAACCCACUACUAGAUUAUUGAACUUGAGAAACCUGCUUCCAAUCCAUUCAUUGAUUCUCUUGAGUGAAUUCAAUCCGUAAGAUAAAUAUCUUAUUUUUAUCUUGUGUAGAGACUAAAGCGUGUGACCUUCAUCUGAUUAAAGUUCUAUCUGUUUGUUGUACCUCCUCUUUUCUCGUCUAAAAUAGGUCCGGGAAAUCUGUGUUCAAUAGUAAAACUAACAUGCUAGAAAGAACCACGAAAAUUUGUUAACAUUACUUAACCGAAAGAGUACUUGCUCUAAACCACUACUAGCUCAAAUAUACACCAUAAGUAUGUUGAUGUUCAUAGCAUUUCGUGGAAUUUGCCCCAUUUAUUUGCACCUUCACAUCAGUUGAUUAUUUUUUCCGUAAGAAAUUGUUGCCUGAAAACAAUUCACUCCGAAAUACCAUCAUCUUCUUGUGAUUUUUUAUUCUUUUCUUCUUGUCUAAUUAAUGGUGGAUGCUUGAAAAGCUGAUUAAAAUUUGAAUUUCUCUGUUGUAACAGGCAUAGACCGAAUGGCGAGCAGUGUCAGUAACUGAAGCUGAGAGAUUCUUGUGUAAUGCAAGCAUGAGAAAAAGUUAAAUAUUGUCCCCAAAACCGCACUAUUUAUCUUCAAAGUAUCUACAUUGCUUGAGCAAUUGCAAUCUUUUCUUCUGUUUUGUCAUGUGCAACUUUUUCUUUUUUGUUGCUGCCGCGCAGCUAAAGAUGGAAUUAUAUCGAUAUUUCUUGCGAUAAUUGGUCGAAACUACAAUCAUCAAACUCAGCAUAAUCCUCUUCAAACUUAUGCGGUUGUGCUUUUUCCACCACCAGCUGGGGGAAUUGUGAUGCAAAAUCUGCCACUGGGCACUUCAAUGAGGAAUCUGAGAUGCUAAAUGUGAAUAUUUCUAAAAUAUUGUUCUUACAUGUUUGACUUAUUGGAUGGUACAUGUAGGGAUGUCAACGGGGCAGAUUUUCAAAAGCCUGAACCCGGAUCCAAACCCAAAUCCGAUGGAUUUGAUGUAUCUAUAUUCAAAUUCGAAUUCAAUCAAAAAUUUGAAAUUCAAAUCCGAAUCCGAAAGCUUGAUUUCGGAACAAUUAUUUUUCUUUACAAUAUUUUAAAAUAUAUUAUAUUAAAUCUAAAAUUUUAAAAUAUAAAUUCAAAUAUCUAUUAAGCAUAUGCUUGAAAUUAAAUUCAUAGUUGAAUUUAAAUUCAUCAGGUUUUUAGUUUUGAUAUUUAUACUCGAAUCUGUAUCUCUUUAGUAUCGAAUAAAAUUUUGCCCAUUCGCAUCCAUUGACGUCCCCAGGCAGAGUACGGUAAUGUAAAACCUAGGCUGUGUCUGAGGGUUUAUGGCCCGCUGGCACGGCACGACAUGACACGACAACAAACCUGGUACAUUCUGGUCCGGCACAAACGGGGGGCAAUAUCAUAGACAAUGUAAGAUACUAGCAUUUUGAUAAAGAAAUGGAUAGGGCUGGCAAACGAGCGAGCCGGCUCGUGUUCGACUCGUGUUCGGCUCGAUAUUCGGCUCGCUCGAGCUCGACUCGAAAUUAAAUGAGCCGAGCUUGAACAAAAUAAAAGGCUCGAAAUUCAUUUCAAGCCGAGCUUGAGUAUUACUCGGCUCGUUCGAAUUAGGCUCGAAAAGCUCGAAAGCUCGAAAAUAUAUAUAUUAAUUAUAUAUAGGCUUUAAUUUAAUUUGGGUAAUUAUUGUUGGCCCAUAAAAUAAACCCAACAAGUACAACCGUGCAAUUGAGCCCAAUUCUAAAUUACAUAACACACUCUAUUUUUCAGACUCACUACAGCAGAAUUAGGUUAUAGGAACACAUGUUUGGGACACUUUUGAGUAAGUGUCCCAUUUAUGCUAAAAUUUAAAAACACAUCUACUAAUGCCUAAAUAUAAAGCCCAAUCCAACCAAAAAUAAAAGAUUACUCUACUCAACCCACCACACUCAGUCCAUUUGGCCCCAUUACAAACAGAAAAGAAAAAAAAAAGAAAAAUCAAUUACCAUCUUUUCUUCUCUCUUCACUCAAUCCACUGAAAUUCUAGACGAAGAGCCUUUACUGUCGUCCUCCUCCGCCACCGCAGCCAACGAGAUAGAGUUUCGGCGGUUGCUAAAUGCUUAAAUAAGUGUUGGUAAAUUAGCAGCACUCUUUUAGGUUAUAGCGACACUCUUUAACUGUCACUAUAUACCUAGCGACCCCACAUAUAGCAACACUUUUUAAAAGUGUCGGUAAUUUUAGCUAGCAGCACUUUUUUGACAUGUACCUACAUUUAAAAGUGUCGCUAUAGACCGUUUUUGUUGUAGUGAAUUUCACUGUUGCACGUAACCCUAAAACAUGAUAACAUUCAAAUUUUCAAAUCCCUAAUUUUUUUUCCCUCUCUCUCUCUCUCUCUCUCUCUCAUCCUCACCCAGUCAGACAGUCACCCUAGCUCACAUUUCUUACAAUUAUUUUGUAUUUUGAACUAUUGAACAUGUUGCAUCAAAUUAUAGGUAAUGUUCUAUAAAAAUUAAACUAUUGAUUAUAUAAUGUCGAGAAUUUCAAUCCGCUCGUUUAGAGCUCGAGCUCGGCUCGACUCGAAAUUAGGCUCGCUCGAGCUCGGCUCGAAUUAAUUUCAAGCCGAGCUUGAGCCUAGAUUUAGGCUCGAAAUUAAUUUCAAGCCGAAUUUGAGCUGACAUAAGCUCGCUCGAGCUCGGCUCGUUUCCACCCCUAGAAAUGGAGUAUAUAUAUAUAUAUGGGAAAAUUUCAUAGGUACCCCCGUGGGAGACUGAAAUUUCAUCAAUAACCCUCUAAAGUUGAAAAUAUCAUAAAUGCCCUUCUAAAUUCAAAAAAUACUCAUGAAUGCCCCUACUGUUAACCGGCCGUCAAAAUCUAACCGAAUAAAUUAUAAAUGCCAUUUUUACCCUGUACAGUUCAUUUAAGUAUAAGAAGCCUAAUUAGUAUAUUAACACUAUUCAUAAAUGCCCUCUUACCUUAGCAUUAAUUAGUUAUUUCCUGUCAAAUAUAUCAUUCUAACUUUUGGGGAGAAAUUUGUCAUUCUAUAUAUCAUUCUAACUUUUGGGGAGAAAUUUAUCAUUCUAUAUUUUAACUCUUAUUUAACUAUAUUUUAAUCCGGAUAGAGUGACAUGUCCUUAACGGCAAAGAUAAUUAUGAUAAUUUUAUGUGUUUGAAGAGGUAUUUAUGAUAUUUUAAAGUUUAGAGGAGUAUUCACAAAAUUUACAAGUUUGAUAAGAUUACUGAUGAAACUAUCCUUUUUCUUUAUAAUAAUAAUUUCAUAUAAUUUAGGGUAGACUUCAAAUACCAACCCUGUAAUUUUGUACUUUUUCACUUUAGUAUCAUAUAGUUUAAAAAGUAUCACUUUAUUAUCCUAUGGUUUCGUUUUUCUCUUUUCAUUAGCACCUUCAUUAACUCUUCAUUAAAUUAUAUAUAAAAAACUUCAAAUACUCCACCUAAGCUUUAUUGAAUAUUCACUUUUGUAUCCUGUGGUUUACCAAAUUUUUAUAUUAGUACUUUGUGGUUUUAACUUUAUCACUGAUAUAAUUGAAAAAUUAAUGGAGGGGAUAACAGAAAGAGAAAUUUAUUAAAUAUAUUAACUUUAUUAAAAUUAAUAAUGAAAUAAAUAUAAAAACUCAAAUAAAAAAGUAGAGGUUAAAGGGGUGUCAACAAAAAAAAUUUAAAGUUGAUGGGCCUAUAUCAAAAUCUCUAUAGUUGAGGGGUCUCCAUACAUUUUACCUAUUGAAAUUAAAUUAUUUUAGUUAUUUUAGCUGAAAAGUUGUGUUAAAUUUAAUAAAUUUCCUUUUUUUUUUACACUAAAUCUCUUAAUUUUAAAAAACUAAAAGUUAAAGGGUCUUAACAAAAAACUGCAUACUUAAAGGAAUUAUUUCAAAAUAGCAUAUAGUUGAGGGAUCUCCAGUACAUUUCUCAAGUAGUAUGAAGUUAGGGGUAAAUUCGUCAUUUCAUGACUUAACACAUUAUUGAUCCGGAUAAACUGACGGUUUUUUAACAGAAGGGGUAUUUAUGAUAAUUUUUUAUAUUUCAAGGGGUAUGCAUGAUAUUUUAACUUUUGUAGGGGUAUCUACGAAAUUUGUAAAUUUUAGAGGGGUAUGGAUGAAAUUGCCCCUAUAUAUAUUUAUAGAGUACGUCUUCGAUACUUUCGAAAGCACGGAUACUUCUGUACUUGUAAGAUAUUUUUGAUGAUAAAAUAUCCAAUUCGACGAUCGGCUCCAUUAGGUAUAAUCUUUUUUAUUGGAACUAUGUAGAAACUAAAUUUUAUAAUUUUUUGACAUUAUUUACCAAGCGAUCAAAAGAUCUCAAAAAUGACUAUUUUAACGGCCGAGGCGGCAUAUUUUUAAGUUCAACGGUGUAGAAGAAUCCAAAUUACAUAAAAAUUUAAUAAAAAAUUUUACUUAACAUCAAUAGCAAGAUCAAUACUUCCGAUUUGAAAUUUGAGUAUUUAUCAUUAUUUUUUAUGAAAUUUUUAUUUUUAGCCAUUCAUUUUGAGGCUACUCAUUCACUAGACAAACGAAGUCAAAAAAUUCCGAAAUUUAGUUUUUAAAUAGUUCCAACAGCAUAGAUCAUUUUUAACAGAACCGAUCGUCGAAUCGGAUGUCCCAUCAUCGAAAAUAACAUAUAAGUACAGAGGCCUUCGUACUUUCGAAAGCAUAGGAGCAUAACUCUCUCUCUCUCUCUCUCUCUCUCUCUCUCUCUCUCUCUCUCUCUCUCUCUCUCUCUCUCCCUCCAUCUCCCUUUUCUUUUCUUGGUUAUAUAUACAUAGAUUAUAGAAGUUUAGCUUAUUAGUGUCUGUUUGAUUUGACUUUUUAUAAAGUCCGUAACUUUUAAUCUUAUAGAAAGCAUAAGAGAGGGUGUGCAUUUUAAGAGCGGAAGCUAUAGUUUGAAAAUUUUGAUCAUGAUCACCAUUAUUAAAAUAAUACUCUAUUAAUGUUGACUAACAAUAAUAUUAUAUUGUACAAUAAAGCAAAAUAAGCUCUUACUCAUAUGCAUUCACGAUAAUACAGUUUACUGUCCUUUUGGCCCAGUUGUAGAAUCCAAUAUUAUUUGAUAAAGUAUUAUUAUAAUAAGAUUGAUCUUUAUGGGAAAAUUACUACAUAUAUAUAUAGUAAUGGUGACGAUUAAUUGUCGAAUAAAAUGUUACUCUUAAUCCUAUUUCAGCUAAACCAAAACACAAUCGGUUUGAAGAAUGGUAAAAUGAUCAUCUUGUACAAAAAUGUUUAUGUGCUAAGCAGGUGACUUAAUAUAUAGAUAGAUGUUAGAUACUUCAAAUACGCGUAGAUACAAUUAAUUAUAAUAUACUAGGGAUUUCAUAGGCUAAAGUAUUUGAGUAAAAAGUUCAAACUAAGCCAUAAUAUUUUUGAAAGUAAGAGAACUAUCCAUACAUUUUUUUCCUUUUCUUUUGCCUCAUAAAUUUGGGCCAAAUGCACUAAAUAAAAUUAAUAAGAAUUCAUGUGAAUUUUCCGAAUCAUGUGUCGAGGAUCAUGUGAAGGACAUCAAAGAUCCUCUCUGCAACUCAUUUAUGACCCACUUCAUCAAUCUUUUAUAUACAAGGCCACUUGGGCCUCCCUUUUUUGAAGGGUAUCAAGUAUAUAUCAACGUAGCCUCCUCCAUUGAAGAGCCAUCAUAUAUAGAGAGAUAUUCUUAUUAUUAAAGAGUCAUGAAGAAGUGUUAUUGCACCAAAGAUACACUUCUUCUAUUCAUGCUCUUAUUGAUCUCUACAAUGUGUGAAGGUCUUCGAUCAACACCUCGUAAGUUUACGAGUCUCUACGCACAUUGUAUUUAGUAUUAACUUCUUACGUCGGUUUUGAUAGUAUGGAAAUAAUGCGUAAUUUUGCUUGCAUUUUGUUUCACAGAUGAUAUAACGGGUUCGAAUGACGAAGGAGAUGAAACAAGCUCUUUGUUUAAGGUUUGUACAUUGUUUUCUUUCCAUCGAAAUCAUUAAAAAAAGGGUUUUGCAUAUGUUGUUCUUUUUCCAAACCAAAGAGAGAACAUGAGUUACAUUUAUAUAUAUAUAUGGCUAUAGAGUUUAAUUGUUUCUUGUAUUAAUGCAACUUUGUAUUUGAGUAGAACAUCGAAGCGCUAAACGACCAUUUCAUUAAAUUGUAGAAUCUAGUUUCGAUGUGAAGCUUCUGCUUUCGGUCUCGAUUCUAUUUUCACGCUUGUUUGGCUUUGUUAUUGGUUCUACGUUUAAACUUUAGAUGUAACACCGAUUAUCAAAUAUGAAAGUCGAAGAUUUUAGCUUACAUGGCUCAAACACACAAAGUGAUCGAAGACGAAGAAUCGACAUUCAUUGCUUUGUAUUUUCGCGCAGGAGGAGAGAGAUGACGACAUCCUAAAAGGAAUGUUCGCGACCGGUUCGAGCUUGCCCGACUGCACGAACGCUUGCGGGGCGUGUUUUCCAUGCAAGAGGGUCAUGGUGAGCUUCAAGUGCUCCGUCGCCGAGUCGUGCCCGAUCGUCUACCGUUGCAUGUGCAAGGGGAAAUACUAUCACGUCCCGUCGAAUUGAUGAUAUAUACGGACUUGCAUGAUCAAGUUUCAGCAAAAGGAGUCAUUAAUGGAGGAGAAACUAAGUCAUAUAUGACUCAUUUUUAACUUUUUCGCUCCCUUUUCAUCUUUUUCUUGUUGUAAAUGUUCCUCUAGUAGACUAAUGUGGGGGAGCACGAAAUUGAGAAGUGGUGUUGGUUUGGAGGAAGUGUAAUGGGGUAUUUGUAAAUGAUGAGCCUUUUCAAUAUUUGAGAGUAGAUUAUUAACNUUAUUAAUAAUUAAUUAUAAAUAAUAAAUUAUUUAAUUAUUUAAUUUUUAAAAUAAUAAAUAAUAAUUUAAAUAUAUUAAUUAGAUUAAUUAAUAAUUUACUGCCAUUAAAAUUAGAUUUAGAUUUUAAUUAAUCUUGUUCUCAUCAAGGAACAAGCUUGUUCCAGGAAACGGGUGGAACAGCAGUUCCAGCCUUAUUCCAGCUAGUUCCAGAUUUUCAGAAACUACUGUUCCUGGGAGCCAAACAUAACGUUUGGGAACAAAGAGGGGAACAAGGGCUUAUUCCCUCCCUUAUUCCCCAACCAAACGCUACCCUAGAGUUGAGUUGGUGGUUGGUUGAAUAGUAUGGUCUAACGGAUAAAAAUGAUCAAAGGGGUUAAUCUAACGGUAGAAAACUUGAUAGUACAAAAUGCUUGGUGCUAUUGAUAGCAUAGCAGCUGGACUCUAUAAAAAUUUAAAAAAUUACGGAAAAUUUAUAAAUUGAGAUAUUAGAUGAAUAAUCUUAAAAUAUGAAAGUUAAUUAAAGCAGGAAGAAAGUAGUAAUGUUGCAUAACUAGCUCUUCAUUUUUUCCGAGUAAAUCACUGCUUCAGUAUACGCUCAAUUCCCUAGGUUUAAACAAAAAAAAAAAAAACAUUUUUACCUUCACAAGUAAAUGCAUGUAUUAAUGCACGUCACAAUUAUUUUAACAGUAUCUCAAAUUAAUAUAAAUUUGUAUAGUAUAUUUAACCAAAACUUUAUAACAAAAAUUUGAAUUUUAAAAAUAGCAAUUUUUCUAUAUUAUAUUUUAUUAGAAAAUAUCUGUUAUAUUUUAACUCAAAUUUAAAUAGAAUUGCCAAUAAUAAUUAUAUGGUUCUCUCUCUCUCUCUCUCUCUCUCUCUCUCUCUCUCUCUCUCUCUCUAUAUAUAUAUAUAUAUAUAUAAUUUCUGUAUGUUUUUCGAAUUCAAAAUUUAAGUAUGUGCUUUACACUAAAAGUAUCAAAAUUUUAAUUCAUCUUUAAUUCAAAUUUUUAAAAUUUAAUUUUGAUCUACUUUUAUUAAAAAGUUUUAAUUGCUAAUUUGGUACUCAAAAUUAAAUUUAAUUCACGAUUUGAACUCAAAUUUUAAUUUAAUUUAUAAAUUUAUAAAUUUAAAUUUAAAUCAUAUAAUUAAAUUUCAACUCUAAUUUAAGAUGAAAUAAAAUUUUAAAUCAAAUAAGAUUAAAAUUUAAGAAUAAAUAUAAAAUUAAAUUUAAAUUUGAUUGUUGAUUGCAAUCAGUAAAAAAUUAAUAUAACAACUAAAUAUCAGUAAAUAGAAUUAAGAUAAUCUAAAAAUAUUCAUGUAAAAAAAAAUAUAAAAUGAUAUAGAAGCACUUAAUAAAAAAAAUUAUAGGUUAGGGAAAAAGAGAAAGUAAAAUUGUGUUUCAUUAUGUUAUUUAUUUUUUGUAGGACAAAGAGUUAUCAAUUUUUUUUUCGUCAAAAAUAUAUUUAUUUUAUCAUUAUUAAUAUUAAUGUAGGGUUCGGCUACUAUACUAUUAUGAGUACGAUCGCCCUCGUACUCAUAAGUUGUUUUCGAUGAUAGAGCUUCCGAAUCGACGAUCCAUACCGUUAAACAUUAUUUACAGCAUUUAAAACUUCUAAAAAUCAAAUUUUAUAAUUUUUCGACAUCAUUUACCUUACGAUCAAGAGGUCACAAAUUUGACAAUUUUUAACGGCCGGUAUGGGAUACUUGCUAGUUUAACGGUGUAAAAGAAUCAGAAUUUGUUGAAUUUUUGAUAGAAAAUUCUAUUCAAUACAUAGAUAAAGAUUAAUAACUCCGAUCUUGAAUUGAAGGAUCCGAUCAUCCUUUUUUAGGACGUCGUUCGAUUUUGACCAUUCAUUUUAUGCCCACUUGAUGAACUUUAUUAUGAUUUCGAAAAUUUACGAAAUUUAUUUUCUAAAAGUUUCAAAUACUCUAGAUCAUAUUUAACGGAGUGGAUCGUCGAUUUGAAAGCUCCAUCAUUGAAAAUAACUUAUGAGUACGAGGGCUCCAAUACUCAUAAUAGUAUAGUAGCCAUUAUAUAUAUAUAUAUAUAUAUAUAUAUANAUAAUGUGUUUCGUUGUUUGACUCUUUGUGGACCAUGCGUUAUCUCGGCGCUCUUUAAUAAUGAUUGGGUUUAUAUGGUUUCUGGAAAACACACGUGCGUUGACCGCUCAGCGGAACUCGAAACAAGUCAACAAUUAUUGGAUCCGUGACACCGCAAUUGCGUUACACCCGAUCAGCCGAUUUAAACCCGAAGCAAAUAAGGGCUCAAACAAAUGAUGCGGCGCUGUCUCUCUCUAUAUAUAUCUCUCUAUCUCUCUCUCUCUUUCUAUAUCUCUCUCUCUCUCCUCCCCUGAGGCGCGAAUCGCCGAGGAGAGAGCGGAGUAGCGCGGCGAUGUGAUCAUCGUCGUCUUCCUCAGCGCCCCCGAUCGUAGCACCCGGAGAUUUCGACGACCUAGGGUUUCAUGGCGGCGGCGGAGGAGGCGGAUCACGGUGGCGCCGCGGCGAAGAAGGCCCCGGCGGCGAGGAGCUGGAUGGUGGUGGAACCCACCGGGGAGGGGACGGUGCUCGAUGUGGAUAAGUACGCGAUCAUGCACCGCGUGGAGAUCCACGCUCGGGAUUUGAGGAUCCUCGAUCCCUUGCUCUCCUAUCCCUCCGCGAUCCUGGGGCGGGAGAAGGCGAUCGUUCUUAAUCUCGAGGUAUUUGGUUCUAUCCCCUGUGAAUUUUCCUUCUUUUUUUUUUGCGGUUUUUUUUGCUAAUUGUUUUUUAUUUUUUUUUUCAGCAUAUUAAGGCAAUAAUCACGGCAGAGGAGGUAUUUAUACUGCAUAAUCGUUUGUUUAUUGAAGAAUUGUGUGCCCUAUUGUCCCUAAAAUAAGAUCUGGUUAAUGUUGUUAAGCUUCUUUUGUUGAUAAGAGAUGUUGAAAAGGUGUUAUGUUUUGCUUGGGUAGAUGUUUCUUAGAGAUCCUUCUGAAGAGCAUGUAGUUCCUGUAGUCGAGGAGCUCCGCAGACGUCUACCUCCGGCGAACGUUGCUCGCCAAGGGAAAGAUGAAGCAAACGCACCACAUGAGGUGGAAGGUGCUGAAGAGGAUGGUGAGUAAUAGUAGGCAUUGAUGCUUUUUGAUUAGGGUUGUUACCUUUUCUAGUUGUCUCAGAAUAUUAGUCUUCCUGGUAGAUAGCAUUAAGAUCCUAAUGCUUGUUAUGUUAUAUCAUUAGCAGAAAAGUAUAAUGUUUUUGUGUUUACCCUUAAUGACCUGUUGGAUGGAGAGAAAAAGAAGUUACUUUCUCAUGUUUGGUUUGAUUUCAAGGAAGUGACUUUAAGAGGAAGGGUGAGAAAGUAAGGCCUCAUUAUUCUUUUUCUCCCCCUCGAAAGUAAAGGAAAAGCCAGAGAAGAGACCUCUGCUAUUUUGUAGAAAACUACUAUCCUCUAGAAAAGAUAUGUUUUUUUCAGAACAUGUCUUUUGUAUGGUAUUUUGUAUGACAUUUGUAGGGAAACAUUCAAUCUUCUCUUCAAAUAAUCAAUGUAUCUUAACAUAACUUCAACAUGAUUCACUCUGUUUGAGGGAUAAAAUAGGCACCGAAAAUGCUAGUUCUUCUCAAUUUAUUCUGACCCCCUGUUGUUCUGGUGUCCUCAGAGUCAAUUUGUAAGCUACAACCUAGGCCAAUAGGACUACUCUGACUUUAAGUUGGCACUUGAAGUACUAACUAUUUUCUAGCAUUUGCAGGAGAAUAUUAUGACUAUGCCGUGUGAGUUUAUGUUGACAUGAUCCAUAAGUAUGGUUCAGAUUAGAAUUUGAAUGUCUUCUGGAUAAAAGAUUCAGAAAGAAGUUAUUGUGAGUCACUUUCAUACUUACUAGCAGCUGCACUUGUUAUUCUUGCUGGUCUCUCCAUGAAUUGUCUAGAGAUUCAUACCUGUUACAGUGAACAUGUGGUACAUUUUGUCAAAAAUCAAAAUCAAAUGUGUCUUUUGAGAGAACUCACCCUUAAGAAGCUUUUAGGGCAUGUUUGUUUCAUGAUUGGAAUGAAAAUGUGAAAUGGAAUCGGAAUAUUGGAAUGGAAAACGGAAUGAGGAAUCAUCUAAAAAUGUUUGGUUUAUUAUUAGAAUGGAAAUCAAAAUAGACAAAUAGGACAUCUAGGAUUUUAAUAGAGGGUUUUGGUUAAGGGAAAGGAGAGAUGAAGGGAGAGGAGGGGAGGUGUUUGUGAGAGAGAGAGAUUGAGUAGUUACUCUGGAAUGGGCCAAUCCAGGAUUCAAAGGUGAAUUCGGCCAUAAUGGAUUGAGUCAUUUCUAUUUUAGAGUGGAAUGGGAAUGGGAAUCCGAUUUCUGUAAAACAAACAACAACUAUUGGAAUUAGUGACUCUCAUUCCGAUUCUAGAGCCUAAAAUAGGUGAAGCUCUUAAUGGUUUCAGGAUUCAGGAGUAAUUAAUCAAUCUAAAAUAUAUAGGACAAAUAAAUUUGCUUUUAGGGCAUGUUGUUCAUGAUUGGAAUAGGAAUGAGAAAUGGAAUUGGAUUGCUUUCGAAUGGGAAAUGGAAUGAUGAAUUAUCCAAAAACGUUUGGUUCAUUAUUGGAAUGGAUAUCGGAAUGGAAAUCUAGAAUUUUUGAGAGAGCUUUUUGAUUAAGAGAGAGGAAAGUGAUGAAGGGAGAGGAGGGGAGGUGUUGGUGAAAGAGAAUUUUGAAUAGUUUAUUUUGGAAUGGGGCAAUCCGGUAUUGAAAGCCGGAUUGGGCCAUACAUGGAUUUGGCCAUUCCCAUUCCAAAGUGGACUGGGAAUUGGAAUCCGAUUCCUUUAAAACAAACAACAACUAUUAGAAUCGAUGAAUUCCAUUCCGGUUCCAUAGUCUAAAAAUGGUGAACCAAACAUGCCCUUAUUGGCUUUCUUGAGACCAUGUAAGAAACACCGCUUUUAAAGAUCUGGAAGUUAUUUAACCAAACAAAGCAAAUUGCCAUUGUCUGAAAUUCCCGAGAAGGUUAUUUCCUUGGUUUGCUUUUCAAUGCUUAUUAACCUGGUUAUCGAAGUUUUUCACUUGUGCUUCAAUUUAGGCUAUAGGGAAAUUUUCUAUGACUUCCUCCAUUUUAUACUCGUUUGUGGCUGGCGGGUCAUUAUUUGCUCCAAAGACUAAUCUGUGCUUCAAUUGUGUAAUCCAGAAUCACCUUUUGAAUUUCGUGCCUUGGAAGUUGCUUUGGAAGCAAUUUGUAGCUUCCUUGAUGCUCGUACCACUGAACUGGAAACUGCCGCUUACCCGGCAUUAGAUGAGCUGACAUCUAAGGUGUGCCAUAAUCUUUUUCGUGAGUUACUUUCUUGUUGUUUCUACAUGGUACUAUUGGAAGAAUUCAUGGCAUGUCACCUUAUCCCUUAUAUGUAUGACCAAAAAGAUGCAAGAUUUGCAUACAGAUAUUUGUUGAUACAUUUUAUUUACUUGUUGUUUACUUGAAUCGCCCUGGAGGGUAGAAGAAUGAUUUUGUUUUGCAAAUUAUAAGAAAGCGUUAGUGUUGUUUUUGUCAGCAUCUAUUAUUCUUAUGGUUUUUGCAACCUACUCUUUGCAGAUCAGUAGCCGUAACUUGGACAGGGUUCGCAAGCUUAAGAGUGCAAUGACUAGGUUGAUUGCUCGUGUUCAGAAGGUGUGCCUUUUUGUUUCCACUUUUCCCUCAACAUGUUAUAUUUACAUGUACCUCUAAAUAUUAUUGGUUGGUUUGCAUUAUAAUCGUUGUAGCUAAGGAAAGCAUUGUAGCACUCUUGGUUUAGGAGUAUCAUGUGCCAAUCCCAUGCUAGUUAUGUGGCUGUAACUUACCUAACCGAACUGCACUGCAGCUGCUCUUGUCAAAUGCUAAGGCUAAUCUCCGUGUAUCAUGCAUUGAUACACAAGGGUACUAUUUGUCAUGCAAAGUAAUAAUGUACACUUCCAUACCAUGCAGAAAAUAACUGGCAUGGUAUAUGCCAGAGUGUGCUCGUCACUGUUUCAACCGAUUGACACAAUUUUCAGUUUGGUUAAGAGAUAUUUUCCUUUUGGGUUUUUCUUCAACUUGACCCACUUAUUAUUUGCUUUUGGUGCUUUCAUAGUGACUUAUCAUCUCAGCGUUCGACAUUCACUGGUAAAUUCUUAUAACUUUUUAUUUUUGGUAGUGGCUAUAUGCUCUUAGGGAACAAGGUUGUUAAGAUCCUUUAUCUUCUCCCGUGGUCAUUGAUCAUAACUAACUACAAGUUGCCUGAAUUCUUUCAUGUAUUCUGUCAUAUUGAUUAGUGCAUCCUGAGCACACUAAACUAUUGGAGUGUUAUUCAAAAAAUUUCACCACUUAGUAUUUUGUAUUCAAGUUUUUGAAUGCAUACAUUUGUAAAAAUUUAUGGUUCUGAUUCUUCUGAACUUUACUCACUAAGCUCUUGAUUUAAUGAUUGGUGAUCAAUGAUCCAUAAAAAUGACUCUAUGAACUCUGGGCAAACAUGUGGGAUUGUGUUCAUUUGGGAUGCUUAUGGUGGGCAGUGGAACACUGCACUUUCCUCUUUAACUCUUUUCUUGACUCUUGAUUCGACUCUGAUUCUGCUGUUUAGUUUGUGAACUUGAUGCUUUGGCAUACAGAUUUAUUCUAUAUAAAGCUCUGGCUUUCUUUCUAUCUUGCCAUUUUAAAAGAUUAAGAGACUCAUUAAGUGGGAUUUUCUUGACCACCAAGGCGUUAUUGACCUAUAAGACAUUGAAAGCAAGUUAACUCUGCAUUCAAAAUAUGGAUUGGAUGUGGCUUUCCAUUUUAUUGGCUAGGAGGAGAAGAAGUAUCUUUUUCAGCAUGAAUUUGCUAAUCGUCCAUGGUUCUUGAUCAUUAUCAUUCAGUAACAAACUACAUGAACAUUAGAAGAGCUGAUGCUGAUGUUUAGUGCUUCACUGCAGUGGGCUCUCCAAUGCAAUAUCUUCUCAUUCUUCAUUAUCUAAUUUUUAUGCCAUAUCCAGGUAAGAGAUGAGCUUGAACGCCUAUUGGAUGAUGACAAUGACAUGGCUGAUCUGUACCUAUCAAGAAAGCUUGCUGGAGCAUCCUCGCCUAUUAGUGGCUCUGGUAGGGCUGAUUGGUCUCCAAACUCACCACCAAUAUUUUCGAAAAUAUCUCGAGCUAGUAGGGCCAGUGUAGCAACAUAUCACAUUGAGAAUGAUGUUGAAGAGCUUGAGAUGUUACUGGAGGUUGUUAUAGUCAAUCAAUUCUCAGAGUCAAUUAGAUUAAAUAUUUUUUUUCUCACUCUCAUGUCUUUCAAAAGUUUAAUCCUAAUUUAUGGUAUCUCCUAAAAUUGCAGGCAUAUUUCAGGCAAAUUGAAGGAACUUUAAACAAAUUGAUCACGGUAUUCAUUUCUUGACACUUAGCUUAUCUUUUUUCUUGUUUUGCAUUUCUGGACAACUGUGGUGUACAUACUUCUAGAUGCCAAAUCAUAAGGAAAAGAAUAAAGAAAAAAGGUUCCGGUGAAUAUGCUAUCUGAACUGCCGUCUUUUGGGAGAACCAUCACCAGAUAACUGUCACUAACGCUGGCUAGAAAUAUAUCAGAUUGAAUAGCCAAAGUUGAUGAGUCUGUUGGAUGUUGGAGUCUAACGAUGAGAAGUUUGGUCGAGCAGUCCACAAUUAAGUUGAUGGGUUACGUAACAAAAAUUUAAGGUCGACUUACAGGCAAAUGAAAUUAUAAUUCUUGAUCUUUGUACUUCACUUCACCCCUUCCAACUCUCUUACAUUUAGAUCUAUCAUCAUGGCUGCAAACUUAUCUUCCAAUUUCAUUAAAGCCUUUACACCCUUCAUCCUCAAGUGCAUAAAUUGUCUCCUCAAGGUAGACAAAACUUGCAAUAUUAUUUCUAUGUGUGGCCCUCUGCUGGGAGUAUGCAAGGAUAAUCAACUGCUAAAUGAGCUUAGCCAUUAAAGCAUUAUUGUUUUUCUUUUAUUGCUGAUUACCUUUGGUUCAUUGUAAGUUCAUUUUUGGCCAAUAGCCUGAAUUUAGCUAGAAUGUAACAUGUUAAUGUUUGGUAGACACUCACUAACAUGAACGGAAACCUUUUUAUCUUGCAUCUUUCUUAAGGGACUUACUUGUUCAUCUGGUCCAGAUGUUACUUCGCAGAUAGGAUUGUCAUUUAAAUAAAAGAACUAUGUAGGAGGACAAGUUUCAAUCUGAUCUAAGUGGUGACUAUGCCUGUGUGCAUAACUCUCCAAAUCUUUAAACUGGAUUUACUUUCAUUAAAUUCAUGCAUGAUGUCAUUUAAGAAUAAUAUUAUCUUUCUUUGGUCUCUAACGUUCUUGGUUCAACCACUUUAUUCGUGAACUUUGUUACAUUCUAUAAUUUCUUUACAGCUACGCGAGUACAUUGAUGAUACAGAGGAUUAUAUCAAUUUUCAGGUACAUGGGUCAUAAAAGUUUUCUUGGUUUAAUUAUGAAUUCAAGGCUUGUGUGUCGUUAUAGUGCUAUUUGCGGAAGCACUAUUAAGUCCCUCGAACAGCUGAGCUUUGUUUGCACCAAAGCGGAUACUCCAAAUUGAGCUUGUAGUGUUGGGACUUAUAAUCUCACUUUAGCUUCUCGAAUAAAUGUCCUAGAAUUUUUUAUUUUUCAAAUGCUCAACCAGAGAUAGUUGCAGCUGAUAGGAGAAGCACAAGAUGAGGCAAAUAGUCACCUAGUCCCUGAAGUUUGAUCCAAAUUCUGUUAUGCUCUCAGAGUUUCAAAUUUUUGCCAAUUUAGUCGACAAAGUUUGUUCUGUGUAACAAUUGAGUAUUAGGGGUAUCUAGAAAAUGCCGCAUCAGCUACAUAUUUUAAAAUCGAAACCUUAAAAUGCUGUCAUGUCAAUGAACUCUAAUGAUUAUGCUGAUGUGGUAUCUUUUCUUACCGGCCAACAAAAGGAUUUAACCGUUACACAGAACGAGCUUCAACGAAGAAAUUGUAAAACUGAAACACUACGGACAUCUACCUAAUUAAAAUCAUGGUCAAACUUCCAGGACUAAAUUUGCAAUUAAGCCAAUUUCCUUUCACAUCUUUAAACUGAAAAAAGGACUCUCGUCAUAUUCUAAGUUUCUAAAUGUUUGUCUUUGCAGCUUGAUAAUCAUCGAAAUCAGCUGAUUCAGGUGACAUUUUUUUUUACAGAAACUUAAUUUUGUCAGCAUUUGUUUUAUCUACAUAGUGGUUCAAAUAAACAAAAUCCCUUCUUUACCAUUGCAGUUGGAGCUUUUCUUGAGCUCUGGCACUGUUUGCCUCACCCUGUACUCGUUAGUCGCUGGAAUUUUCGGCAUGAACAUCCCAUACACAUGGAACGACGACCACGGUUAUGUUUUUACAUGGGUAAGUUUGAAGCUUGACGGACUUACUAUGAAUCUCGGAUUAUAUUUAUUUGAAGAUGACAUAUUUAUAGCAUCAUGUCUACAUUCUUCUUGAUCAAAAACAGGUGGUAGUUUUCGGGGCAGCUAUAAGUUCCGUGCUUUUCGUUGUGAUCAUUUAUUAUGCUAAAUACAAAGGUCUUAUUGGAUCAUGAUAUCCGGAGAUACACAUUGAGGUAUGGCUUACAUUUACAUAUUGUAAGAAAUAUGCCAUCAUUUAAGCUCAAUUUAAAUGAAAAAAAAGUGAAAAUGUGCAGGGACCAUUUCAACUAUAGGCCAUUUUGAAAUAGACCCGCCAACUUUUUUUCUUUUGGCUUGGCACUCUUUCAACUUUUGAUUCUUCCGGUACGAAUUAUAUCCAUCAAUUAAAUUGGAGAUCGUAUUACACCGAAUAGUAGUUUUGUUUAACAUUUAACUGUUCUGAACACUCCUUUAGUUGAUGAAAUUGCAAAUUCCGUUAACCGUUAAUAGGGCGGCGGCGUUAAAUUUAACAAAUUCGUGAUUUAAUAAAGCAGAGUUACUAAAAUCAAAACAACUGUGAAGUUUGAGUUGGUAUCUAUUAAAAAGGAAGCAAAAAGUUUGUGUGCCUAUUUCGAGAUGGCUUGGAGUACUAAUAUCUACUUCAUUUUUUUUGUUUUUUAGGUCUUUACAAGAGAAUUCCACCUCCCUAUUGGUCAAUGGUCAAUUCAAGCAUUGCAUGAGGUAUUAGGGUUUGAGAAACAUUUUUUUUUUUUCUUUUAUAGAUUACAGAGAGAUAAUAAUAAUCUUUUUCUUCAACCUGAGCUCUAGGAAUGUAGUUCAUUUAUUUUACUCUUAUUUUCUUAUCAAUUUAUUGUCAAAAGAGAACUAGUGGCAAUUUAUUCUUUUAUUGUUAUCUAUUAGGGCAUAUAAAAUAAUGAAAACGAGUUAAGGGCCGCACGAUGUGGCUGACAUAAAAUAUUUUAGCAGUAAAAUUUAGUUAAUCUUUCUACACUUUUAUAAAAUUUUAUUAGCCUGGUUAUUAAUUAAAUUAAUUUAAAUAAAACUAAUUUAAAUGUGUAUAUGUGUAACAUGAAUUUUUGCAAGAGCUAAUUUAUGAGUCAGUAAAUGACUAAUAGUCUGGGUAUUAAAUAAUUAAAAUAAUUAGAACACAAUUCAACAAGUAUAUAUAAAAAGAAAUUUUUUAAAGAUAUUUAAUUACUUAAUUAAGAAAACUUUUAUAGGAACUCAAUGAUAAUUAGAUAAUAACAUAAUUAAAAUAAUUUAAACAAGGUCGGCUUAAAAAAAGUAAAACUCGUAAAAAGAAGGUAAGAGAAAUAUAAGAGCUAUUAGUAAUUAAAAUAUUUUAUAAAGAUACUUGUAUAAAGGAGUAAAAGAAGAAACUAGAGAAAUUUCACUUGUAUACCCCAAAAAGGGGUGUAGAUCCUACACCUUCCAUCCUAUUCACAAAAAUAUAAAUAAUUUUAGUAAAAGUAAAAAAAUUGAUGUGACAAAUAGAAAAUUAAUGGCCAUUGAAUGAAAUGGGUGUAAGAUGUACACCAAAUUUUAGGGUAUACCAAUAGUAUUGCUCAAACUAUUGGGCUAAAUUACACUUUUGGUCCUCAAACUAUACAGUGUGUGACCGUUAGUCUUUCAACUUUAAUUUGUAGCAAUUUUUGACUUGUCUAAAUUAUGGCAGUCAAGUCCCAUAACAUAAUUUCAUUCAUUAAAUAUUAAUGUGUCGCUGAUAUAAAAAUUUAUAGACUUUUUUAAAUUUUAGAACGAAGAGGGUGCAAGAUGUAUAUUCUUUUUUCAGGCCUAUAGAUCGUGUUUUCUAUCCGCAACUACUUUUUCUUACAACAGAAUCAGAAGUUUCAAAUUAAAGCUUCUGCUUUCUUCUACUGAGGUUGUACUCUUUUUUUGUUUGUAUCGCACUUUGCUAAGAUUAUUGCAGCUAAGAUUGAAAAUAAAAUUAGAAUCAAUAGACCCUUAUAUUGAGGGUCCCCAGAUUUUGUGGGGGUGCUCGUUCCACGACAUACGUUGAAUAAAAUUCAAAGAUUCAAAUAUUCAAAGAGAUACGUCGAAUAAGAUGUUUCAUACACCCAAAUAUGGCCUAAAAAUAUUCGAUCCGUGGAAAUGUGAUAUCGCGGGGCCUCUAGUAUUUGUUUUUUUUUUACUGGGCCAACAGGAAUGCAAUAAUUUAAAAAGAUAAAAAAAAGGUUAAUUCCAUACAAGUCCUUACAAAUAUAGUAAAUUAUAAAUAUAUUUGUGUAAUUUUUAUAUAUUAUUUCUGUAAAAGUUUUGAUAUUUUUAUAUGUCCCUAUGAUUUAUUACCGUUAAAUUAUUGUUUACUUUAUAAGUGAAAUAAUUUUAUUGGCAUCACAAAUAUGGCCCUGUCCCAACUCUUAAUUAAGUCAAUUAAUCUCGUUAACUGACUAGGUUUAAAUAUUUUAUAUAUGUUUAACUAAUUUUUUUGAACGAAUCCUAACGGUAGGGACAUAUUUGAAGAUUUUAGAAUUUUUAUAGAAACAAUAUAUAAAAAUUAAAUUUUAUAGAAAUAUAUUUGUAAUUCAAUAUAUUUAUAAUAACAAAUAUGAAAUUAACCUUAAACAAAACACGGCAAGUCAUUAGCCAAUGAGAGUGUCAUAUAUUCUUAUGAGAGUGGGCUGGUAUGCUUCUGGAAGCACGGAGCCCUCCGUGUUUCCAAGUUGUUUUCGAUGUUCGGACUUUUGAAUCGACAAUCGGCUCCGUUAGAGUUGAUCUAGAGUAUUUGAAGUAUCUAAAAAAUAAAUUUUAUGAUUUUUCGAUAUCAUUUGCCUAGUGAUCGAAGCGGCUCAAAAUCAAUAAUUUUAAUAGCCGUGGUGAGCCGUUUGCAAGUUUAACGGUGUAGAAAUAUCCAAAUCACAUGAAAUUUUGAUAGAAAAUUUUUUAUACCAUAUAAAACAAGAUCAAUAACUUUGAUAUAAAAUUUUAAUGUCAUAUCAUCAUAUUUUAUAAGAUUUUUAUUUUCAGCCGUUGAUUUUGAGCCACUUCGAUCACUAGGCAAAUGAUAUCGAAAAAUCGUAAAAUUUAUUUUCUAAAUACUUCAAAUACUCUAGAUCAAGUCUAACGGAGCCGAUCGUCGAUUCGAAAGUCCGAACAUCGAAAACAACUUGGAAGCACGGAGCGCUCCGUACUUCCAGAAGCAUACCAGACGCACUCUUCUUAUGAUGGGUAAUAUCUGUUGGUCAUGACUCUGUUGACUAUUUUGCUUUGGAGUUAUCCUUUUCCGGAUAAGAGUAGUUGUUAUCCAUUUCACCUUUCACGGAACUAAAUUAUGUGAGUUUAAUGAGUAUGAUGAUGAUGAUGAUGAUGAUGAUGAUGAUGAUGAGUUCUAGACGCAACGCAUAAUUCUCUCUGUUGAUCGCGUUUAUCUCUUGUUUGACUAUUGGGUUAACAAAUAGAUUGCUAUUCACAACAAACACUAAUUUCCUUUUUCCUUUAUUUGGGUAAAGAGGUUUGAACUUUUAAUUUUGAUAAUAAUUAUAUGUCCCAAACUUUAUUAGAUAGUUCGAUACGCUAUUCUCCUCGAUUAAAAUUAUUAAUUAGUUUUAUAAAGCUUUACAACACAAAUAGAUUUAUUUUUUGUAUUCUUUCGUGUAAAAAAAAGUGUUAAAAAUUAAAAUUUGGUUCUACAUAUUCUUCACUCAUCAUGUUUAGUUAUGAAAAUUAGAAGAAAAAUAUAUAUUCUGCAUUCCCCACUGCAUCCAACCAAACUGCGCCUUGUAAUGGGCUUUUGGGUUCAUCUAACUCACUCGCACCAUAUAUUUAGGCUAUUUUAUUGGUCGGAUUUCAAUCGCGAAGAUAUUGUGACACCCUGCUUUCUAUAGAGAUUACACAUCAUACGAAUACUCUAGUCUUAAUCCGCUUAACUCUCUAAUAUAUAUAAUAUAUCUAAUAUACAUGACUAUUUUAAAUUCUAAGAAUGUCACGGAUAUAGAACUAUAAAAAGUUAUGGAUCAUUAUAUAGAAAUAAAAACCUAGAAUGCCUUAUAUUCUCACUUGAGAUUGAGGAGAUGGACUACUUUUUUUUUUUCAAAAAAAAAAAAAUCUUUCAUUUUCUAAGGUGUUGCUCAAGCUACUGCAACAAUAACAAGAGUGUUGUUGUGUUCCAUAGACUAAAACAUGCGAACAAUAAUAAAAUGGACAAAUCAAGAUGAAUUAUUAUCCAGACAAAAAAGCCAUCACAGACGAGGACAUGUUGCCAUCUGGGAUUAAUAAAGUCUAACUAAAAGAUUUUUGAUAAUCUAACAAGUACUUAAAAAAAGAGAUUAAAGAAUUUGUUAGUGAGUUUUCGUCGUGUCACAUUAUUUAAUUUGCCUACGAUGGAUAUAUAUACACAAUAUAUUACUGUAACGACUUAGCCUACUAAUAUUUAAUAUCGUGGUCACAUGUGGCUGGGAACGAAAUCAGGAAUUAAAUUCGAGGGGAUCAAAAAUACAAAAUAUAUUUAUCUUUAAAAAAUUUGUAAAGCAAAUUAUAAUAAAUGUUCGAUAUACAGGGCACAAGCUUUUUACUCUCUUUUUUUUUUUUUUUUUUUUUUGACUUUGGCCUCUAAAAUUUAUAGUAUUUAAUUUUAUUUUAUUACACCAUAAAUGAGGACUUUUAUGUAGAUUUUAAAAAGUUGAGAAGGGCCAUUGCCACCUUAAGCUUCUCAAUAAUUUCGGCUCUGCAUUAAAUUCUUGCACUCUUUCACAUUAUCUGAAAUAGAACUAUUUAAAUGUUAUGCUUAUAUUUCAUCUAUUAUUCCAAAAAAAAAAAUCUUAAUUUUUAACCCAAAAAAAGAAAUCUAUAGCGCUAGCAUUAUCAACCUUAAAUGUUUUCUAUUUGUUUUUGUUUUUGUUUUUUUGUUAUUUUUCAAAAAAUCAGGAGCGUAAUCUUCUAAUAUCCUAAUCCUAUCCCCAGUACUCUCAUUGAGACUUGAACCUACACUCUCAUCCUAUGUCUUAUUAAUGGAAACAUUGUCACAAUCGCUCUCCGAUAUAGCGAAUUACGGAUAAGAUAAGUCGUUUUUGAUGAUGAAGUUUUUAAUUAAUAAUUCAUAUGGUUAGAUAUAACCUAAAAUAUUUUAAAUUUUUCAACAUCAAAUUUUAUAAUUUUUUAAAUUAUUAUAAAACUCAUCUAGUGGGUAUGGACUGUCAAAAUCGAAUGAUCUCCUUAUAACAAAGAAUAAUAUUUUUAAAUUUGAGAUCGGAGUUGUUGAUCUUGAUUUAUAUAGUAAAUUAAAAGAUUCUUCUGUACCGUUAAUUCGGAAAUACUUCACACUGGCCGUUUAAAAAUAUAAAUUUUGAAACUCGUUAACCCUAAGCUAUGUAUAAUGUCAAAAAAUUUAUAAAUUUUAGCUAGUAAAAAAAUUGAAUUCUUUAAAUUAUAUUUAAUAAUAUCAAUCAUUGAUUUGAAAUUUUAUUUUUAAAAAUAAUUUAUGAAUGCGAAAAACCACCUUACAUAGGACUUGGUCAAAUACAUUGUAUUAUAUUCACAGCUCACACAUCCACAUCCCCACACUGGAGUCAACGAGGACCAGUCUCAGUGGGGACGGGCCCCACCCCACCCCCACGCGACCCCACCGCGCACGCGCAGGUCAACAACGCCCGCGGAGACCGACACGUGUCCCUAUCGGUGGCUCCGAUCUCACCGACACGUGUCGGCCCCUCGUCCCGUCUCAGCCGCGACGGCGUACGCAGAGAUGCCCCUCGAGGCAAGAGCCUAAUGAAUGCGGGGGUGGUGGGCCCCACCCGCCUAUCGUACAUUUUGACCAAUCAUAAAUUCGCCAAAAAAAAGAGAGGAGAAAAUUCACAAAUGAUCUCGGCCGUCCGUUAUUCUGACGGCUAAGAUCAUCCGGGGAGCACUAACCUUUUAAUUUGGGGAAAAUGAUGGGGUUUAUUUACCGCUUGGGUGGUGAAAAAUUUGUUGGGACCCCUUCAGCUAAAGACGAUUUUCAAAUUGACCCCUUAAUUUUUGUUUCUCUAGAUAAUUUUUUUAAAAAAAUUUUAAACAUUUUCAUAUUAAACUAAUUUGGAAACUCUACUAAUGAUUUACUUUUCACCGAAUAAAAAGUACAAAUUUUCUUAAAAAUUAACGGUCGUCAAAUUUAAAGUAAACGACAAAUCUUAACUUAAACACUAAUGAUGGGCGCAUUUCUAAAUGCCCUACUGUUGAGGGAGCUGAAUAUAAUUUUUACCCUUUUUUUUUACCCUUUAAAAGAUUUAAAAUAUACAUAUAUAUAUUCCUACAUAAGUUGACUAGUAACUUUUCACUAUUAGGACCAUUAUGCCCCUACAAAUAAUUUUUUUUUCUAGAUACUUUGAAUGAGGAUGUACUAUUUAUGUAGAAUAAUCAAAUAAACAUGUUUAAAAUAAAAUAGAUAUUAAAUAUAAUUAAAAGAAUAUUUAUUCUGGUGUACAAUGAUCAUUUUAUAUUAAAAUAAAUUAAUUUUAAUCCGUCAACUGAUAUAGAGAGAUUUAUUUAUAAAUUAUAAAAAUUUAGAGGGAUAUAUUCAUAAUAAAAAUAUAUAGAACUUAUCUAUAAUAUACAUUGCAUUCAACUACCAAAUUCUUUAAACUUUAAUUUUAGUAUUUAAUGGCUCUCUAGUAAACUAAUUAUUUAUUUUAAUAAAUUUAUAGCUACAUAAACUAUAUAAAAUAUACCAAUUAAAUAUGUAAAGAUAAACUAUGUAUUUAAAUUUUUAAAGUUGAAAAAAAUCAUUAACCAGCUCAAAUGAUCAAAUCAAAUAAAUUAAAGUAUCAGAAAAUAAAAUUAAAAUUCUUAAAAAUUAGAUAGUUAAAGUAAAAUGGGUGAUAGUUGAGAUAAGUUAUAUUAUACACUUUUUACCUAUAUUUAAUAGUAAAAUAAUUUUAUAAGAAUAGCUAUGUAACAAUUUCAGUGCUUUGUAGGGACAAAUAUGCAAUUAACCCCUUUUUUUCCAUUAUUUUAAUGUGCACCCUCUCAAACCCGAAUCUAUUACUUUAGUCCCUGGGAAUGGAGUGGACUGAUAAUAUUACACAUAUAAUAUAGAAAAAAUAAAAUAAUAAUUAUAGUUAGUAAAAAAAAAAAAGAAAAAGAUGGAAAUUUUUCAUCUGCAUUUGGUCUUCCCCUUCACACCUCCCAAUCCCACCAAAGGCCAUGGAAACACCACCACCCCUUCUUCCUCUUCUCCCCCACCUCCAUUUUGGCUCUUCCCCCAAAUCCAUGGUGAGCUCUCCUUUUCUGGUUUAAUUUAUGGUGUGAUUUUGAUGCAAAACAAUCUAUAAAAGAACCUCUUUUUUGUUGUGUUGUUUUUGUUCCUUUUUAGAUCAACCAAAUCUUCAAAAGAAAGGAAAAAAAAAAAGGAAAAAAAAAAUCUGAUCUUGGUUGCUUUUUUUCUUCUUUUUAUUUUUCAGAUGCUGAAUCACUGAGAUUUGUAAGGCUUGGUUUGUGUUGAUCUUGGUCUGAGAUGGAGGAGGUGGAAGAAGCUAAUAAGGCAGCUGUUGAGAGCUGCUACAGAGUUCUAACCCUUCUUUCCCACUCCCAGGAUCAUCCAAUUCAGCAUAAGAUUGUUGUAGCAGAGACAGGGGAAGCUGUUUCCAGGUUCAGAAGAGUUGCUUCCAUUCUCAGCAACUGCAAGGGCCAUGCCAGGGUCAGAACUGAAAAGAAACCCCUGCCCAAAUUCAACCACAGAAUCUUCUUGGAUUUCCCAUCAUCCACUAGUAGCAGAUUAGAUAAUAGCCAAAGAUCACAGUUUGGUGCUGUUUCAAGGGCCACAACAGCCCAAUUGAGCCCCAAGCUGUUCAUCGAGAAGCAGCCGGUUCCGGAAUUGGAUUCGACUCCUAAGUUAGCCCAUUUCCAGCUCGCGCCGCAGCCCGGGCCUUUCCACUUCCAGUUCCAGCAGCAUGUGAGGUUCCAGAAUGAGGUCUUCCGGAGGGCCGGCAAUGAGAUAAGCUUCAAGAUCGAGGAGUCGAGCCGCGGGGGGGCGACCGCGUCGUCGAACACGAACCGGUCGUUCCUGUCCUCGCUGAGCGUGGACGGCGAGGCGUUCAGUCUGAUCGGCGCGGCGCCAACGCCGCCGGACGUGGCGGCCGCGCGCCCCGCGCCUAUCAAGAGGAAGUGUCAUGGCAAAGGGGAGGAUGGGAAUGGCAAGUGCUCUAGCAGUGGGAGGUGCCAUUGCUCGAAGAGGAGGUUGGAUGAAUCAUAAAAGAGAUAUUGUAUGUUACUACAUUUGGAUUUGGAUUGGUUCAUAGCAAAUAAUUUUCAUUGUUUCAUUGUUUUGGUAGGAAAUUGAGAGUGAAGAGGUCCAUUAAAGUGCCUGCCAUUAGCAACAAGCUUGCUGAUAUUCCCCCUGAUGAGUACUCAUGGAGAAAGUAUGGUCAGAAACCAAUUAAAGGUUCUCCUCAUCCCAGGUAUGUUUACAUGUUGUAAUGAGAUAUUCUCGACUUAAUUCUUUGUGCUGAGCAUCAAAUAGAAUUGCUUGGGUAGCGAAAUGAUCACUAAAACUAUUUCAUGAAGUUCGUAUUGUGAUGUAAAUUAGUGUUGAAGUAGGUUGGCUGCGGACUUUGUGGUGCCUCUUUAUAGUUUAGAUUCACAUACUUGACUAGAUAUAAAAAAUUUUGUUUACCAGAUUGUUUAUUUGCUGGUUACUAUCAAAACAAUGACGUAAAAGUCAUAUCGGUUCCCGCAUUUGAUGUGAUAAUUAGUGUGUUUGUCUUAGGUGGCUCAUUUGUGUUGAAAACAUUUACUUGGUAGUUUUGUAUGUAUUUUGGAUUUAUAUUCAGUUUUGUAUCUUCUUUUGUCAUCCCUGCUAUUUCUCAAUUACAGCAACUGACAAAGUUUACCACUAAAAUUUGAUUCAGGGGAUACUACAAAUGCAGCAGCAUGAGGGGUUGCCCUGCGAGAAAGCAUGUCGAGAGGUGCUUGGACGACCCUUCGAUGCUCAUUGUUACUUACGAGGGGGAGCACAACCAUCAAAGAUCACAAGCUCAAUCGGCGCAGACAUAGAAGAGACUUUUUGAGUUGUAUAACUGAAAGAAACCCAUUCAAGCCUCUUGUUAUGAAAAAUGAUCCGACUUGUGACCUUUUAACGGCGGAAUAGAGAUCCUGAAAAGCAUUGAGAGUUCAUUCCCCCUGUAAAAGCAGAUAGAACAUGGGCGCGUUCACGAGGUGUGGAAAGUGUUGAUCCUCGCAUUUUGGUAAGACUUGAGUUUGAUCAAUUGAGAUUCCCGAUGUAGUCUGAUUGCGAAAAUCUUUGAUGUCAAAAGUUGGAAAUUUGAAGCUGGAACUGUAGCUUCUGUAAUCCUGGGGUGCAAUGGAAGGUCAUGAAUUUGCUAAAAAAAAUUUCUGCUAAAUUGCAUGUUUCAGAACUUCCCUUUCUCUUGCUUUUGUGCAUGACUUAAUCACAGCAUACUCUAUGGUAAUUUUUUGCCAUAUAAAAUUUGGUACAUCUUCAACUUCUUCUGACACUUGAAACUUCCAAGAACCUUCCAGUUGAUGCAGUUCUUGAGAAUGCCAUUGGUUUUGUUAUCAUGAACCACAUGAACUGCAAGUACAAUAUCUUCUUCCUAUGAAACCCUUAUUUUGCGGGCGAUGUUAUUAACACAGUCAUAUUUACUAUUAAGUAGGAGAUUUAUACUGUCUAAAAUUAAUGUUUGUUGGUUGGGGAACAGUUUUUUAUUAAAUAGGUAGGCACUCCACAUGGUACUUACAAUAAUAGCCCAAUCUCAUUAAGCCAUGUAAUCUUACAAAUGUCAAAUCAAAGAUAAUAAGAUAAUUCCAAGUAGAAAAAGAUGAGAGGAAAAAGAAAGAAAUUUGUUUUUGUACUUCUAUGUAAGAUGGCAAUAUGUGAUUGGAUGUUAUAAAGCCAAUCAUUUAAUUCUCUGCUAAUGUUGAUUAAAAAGCCCAAAAUUUUGGAUACCAUUUCCUUUUCUUUUCCUCAUAAUGUUGAUGAGACAUUGAGUAGAGAACUGGAGAUUUUAGCUAACCAAGUUUGGUGCAGUAUAAGCAUUGACUAUAAUCCAAAUCAAAACAAGAUAAGAAAGGGUCCUAACAUAACUUGUCAUAAUAUAUUUACCCAUAUGCUUGGAUAUAAAUAUAUCUGACUUUAACUAAUCAGCAUUAACACUCUUGGAAUCAAGCUAGUAAUAAUAUCGAACCAUAACAAAAGCGCGUGCUAAAGACGCGAUUACAAACUAAACUAAGAGGCUUUUGAUCUUCAUGUUCUUCUUUUGCCUUGGAAUAGAAACCAAGUUUUAAGUAUAUUUAAACCUGGAUAAGGGGAUUGCAUCGGAGAUCGGUAACGUUUAGCUUUAAGUCAAAUUAAUCUAAUCCGUGAUAUGCCGCCGACCAAUCAAGUUUGUUAACAAACAGCUAAGGAUGAAUUAUUCUAUGGUUGUCUUAUUGCCUUUUCUGGGUUCUGAAGCAAUCUUGUGCCUUUGCUUUUCUACAUUGUAAAUGAUCCACUUGGCCAUAAGUUGGGCUAAAAUUUCUACAGCUAGAUUCUUUCUGAGAUUUUCUUUUGUUUUGUUUUCUUUUUUUCCCCUUCUAUCUUCUCUUAAUCUUGAUUAAUUUUUCUACCAAUGCGACGAAAACGCAUAAAUUUUGCCUUGACAUCCAAUUGGUGCUUAAUCCGCACGCAAAAUGUCAUAAUUAAGCUUGGAUUAUUGUAUUGUAGUAUGAUUGUUAUAUUUUAAUGGAGUGGUGGUGCUCAAGGACAUGACUUGUAUAUGGAAUCUUGACCUUGCAUUAAUGCAAAACAUUUUUUAAAGCUCAUCAAAUAUUUGGCACUAAUCUCGAUGUGAACGCGGAAUUAAACAACUCUUAGACUUAAUCCAGAGCUAGGUUGAGCUGCAAAUAGGGUGAUUUACAAAUUAGAAAUGCUUGGGACCAUUCAAAUUGUCCAUAUGAGCUAAAAAACUACACUCUGAGGAAUUAGUAAUCUAAGAAGAGAUGUAGCUUUCUAAAGGGAAAAAAAAAAAUGUCGAAAGAACCAAAUCUUAUAAAAAAUUCUUCAACAGCAAGAAUUAAAAAUUUCAGCUAGAUGUCCUUUAUAUAAUACUUGAGCUAGUCUUGCGAAUCGCGAUAUAAAUAUCGCUUAAUUUAAUUUGUAAACAGGUUUUAAAAUUUUACUGACUCUGAGGAUUUCCAACAAUUGUCAGAUACUAACAAAACAACAGCCCCAGAAAUCUACAUAGAGAUUAUGUAAAGGAACCUCCUCAAACUAUAGGCCAUUUUCAAGUAUUUCCCUUGAACCUUUGUUUUAAAUAAUAAUUAACAACUCCACAACAUUUUAUUCUUUCAAUCUAAAUCCUACUUAAAAUAAUUGAAGAUUUAGCUGAAUUUAAUGAUCAUCCUAUAAAAUUCAUUUGAUCUGAACAUUUAUUAAUUGAUUGAUUAAAGUGCAGAGUUUCUUUUAACAGUUAACAAUUAAUAACUCGCAGAAUCGUCGGAACAAAUCCUCGAAGUCAAUUUAGAAAAAUAACUCAAAUGAAAACAACUUAGAAGGUGAUGAGAUCUCACCCAAUUAGUUGAAGAGUCUACUUCAGAAUUAUGGCCUUUUAUUUAGUCCCAUGCAUGCAAUCUUUUUCUUCCCCCCACCACCCCCCAAAGAAAUAAAUAAAUGAAGGGCUCCCAUCACAAUCCUGCACUGAAUUAUAUCAGAAUACAAACAUUCUUUCUUCUGGCAGAAACUGAAGUGCUUGGUCUGGAAACUGCAUAACACCAUAAAUGGGACAAAUCAAUGUGUGAGAAAUUCUCCAACCCAAUUGCAGGAAUCUGAUUGUCCAAUUGCAGUACUAGAAUAUUAUGAUCACAUCAAGCAUGAAAUUUUUAUGAGCUUAGCAUGAUUUUUAGGUUACCACUUAUGUCCACUUCACAAUACAUAAAAAAAAGGGUUAAACUGCAUAUGUGUUCCUACAGUGCAGUGGAAUUGACAAAUUCAUUACUACAUAGUUUUAGUUACUAAAUACAUCUCUCAAGAGCACUUUGAAGUUGACUUAUUAUUUUCUAUGAAAUGAUCAUUUUGUCCUUGCGUACUAUUUGGCUGGACGUAAGUGUAAAUGCACCACAGUCGAAAAUAUAUGCAGUCGGAUAUGCAGCAGCUGUAGUUAUAUGCAUUUUAUAGAAAUCGCUACAACGAUAAAGAAUUUGUUUGAUUGUAUGCAAUUGAGAAAUGCAUUUAUAAAAUUACAAUAAUUUAUGUAUUAGGUGGUUGGAUUGCUCCCAAUGUAGGGGAAAAAAAAAGAUAGUUUAUGCUUAAAAGGUGAUUAAAGAGGUAAGGUUUAUCUUUUAUUUAAAGUUAUUUUUGUUUACUGCUGCACUUACAACUAUAGUCAAGUCGGGUAUAGUUCUAACUAUUGUAAUUGAGAUUUUUUGUGCAGUUCAACCUAUUGCAGAUAUAUUCAAACACAUCAAACUAAACAUCUAAUUUGGAUCUGAAUAUAAUUAUAAUUAUAGCGCGGUUGCAAUAACAGACAACCAAACAUCCCCUUAAAUUAGUAGCUUUCUAAUUGUAUUAUUAACACUAAUUUUCAUCUCUAAUGUUUUCAUAUUAACUUUCAUAUCAUUCCAUAUAAACCGUAAAUUAUUAUAAAUCUUGAAAAAUAUCUUAAAAAACUAUUAUUUACGAGGGUAUACUGCUUUUAACAGUGAAAUGCUAACUGUCCAUUAAUAUAGUCCACAUGUUGAGACAAAUUUACAUCUUUAAUUGAUGGGAAACUCAUAUGCAAAUGGAAAUUAAAAUUAGUAAGGAAAAAUGCCAAAACUAUAAUUUGUGUUUAGAAUUUAGUCCAUGAACCAUCACCAAUUUGGUCCAUUUCCAUUUUUUUUAAAAGAAAAAGCAUUACCAAUCUUUAGCAAAUAGCUUAGUAGUUUGAUAACACAGCUCUAGAGUUCGACUAUGGUGUUUUUAAACGCACCAAGUACUUGGUGUUUAUAAGUUUUUUCUUCGUUAUAUCUACCUCUUUGACUAUUUUCAUUCGUUAGAUCAUACUAUUCAAUCAAUCAACCACUCACUUAACUCUAGAAAAUCACUAUCAUCUUAACUGUACACCUCUUAAUCUAAGGAUAAAAAAUCUACAAACACCAAUAACUUAAUACUUUUAAAAGCAUAAGAGCUCAAUUCCAAAGGUCUAUAUAAAAAGAAAAAUGAGCACUAUAUUAAUAUGUUGAUCUAUGACAGUAAAGUAUAUUGUACAGAUUUUCAUCCGAAAAAAAAAAAGAAAUAGCAAAAUACCAAAUAAACUUAAGAAUUCUUAAAAAAUAUAUAUUAAAAAUAGAUUUAAAGAGAAUGUAACAAGUUGAAAUUAUGCGAAAACCAGUCUGGAUUUGAAUGAUCCAAAUCCGGAUUAGAAAAAUUAUAUCAAACCCAAAUUUGAAUCCAAAGCCGAAAAAUAUUCUAUUUUGAGAUCCAAAUCCGAGUUUGAAUCUGAAUCAGAUUGUAAAAUUUUAACCUGAAAAAUUUCGAAUUCGAAGAUCUACACCGUUUGCACCCCCAGGCCCACUAUGGAUUACUACUGGGCUACCCAUGUAGUAAUUUGAAUCCUGAUAAUUGAGAAUCUGAAAUUCUAAAGCUUCAUACUGUAAUACUCUAAUAGUCCCACAUAGGACUCGUAAUGGAAAAUGUAUGGGCUCAUGGGCCCUAGUAUUAAUAACGAGUCAAUAAUUUGAACUUAACGAGUUAUUAUUACUAGUGAAUCGGAUUGUUAUACAUAUUAACCAUCUUAUAUAUGCUCUAUAAAAGGGGCCUGAAAAAGUAGUAAAAAUAUUAAGGCUGAUUGCUUAUGUAGCCUUAAAUUUAUCGACUUUUAUAUUUUUUUCAAAAUUCUGUCCAAAAUAUAUUUCUCGAAACUUUCUUCAUUAUACAUAUAUAACUUGUCCAUUAGUUUUUUUUUUCUAAUUAAACCGGGUUAAAUUUAUUUUCAUCUUAACCAAAGUUGGAUAAAAGGUAAAAAAAAAAUUUUGCCCCUAUUUGUUAAUCUAUUUCUUCACCUAUCAUUGUCCAAUUUGUCCCCAUCCUAAUCGUUGUCCCCAUCCCAUCCCUAGAUUUAAAAAUCGCCCCCACUCCUUUCCAAAAAUCAACUCUACCCCUUGGUCCCUCACCCUCUCUUUUUUGCCCCUAUAAUAUAGUAUUUUUGUUUAUAUUUUUAGAUAUAAACUUAGCUGAAAAUAUAAAGUAACUAGCUUUCGAACUUAGAACCUCCGAUAUCAACCUUCGAGCCUUUAGCUUUCGAACUUAGAACCUCCGAUAUCAACCUUCGAGCCUUUUGCCAUUUGCACUAGAGAUGGUCGAUGAAGCAACCUGGAAUAUCGGAUACCAACUUUUGUUGAUGGAGCAGUAAUGAUGAGGCGCGGCGGAAAGAGUUAGAAGCUCGAUCGAUACCAACUUUUCGACCAUGGCUAUCUUCUUAUAAGCCAGAGAAAGAAGAUCAAGAUAACGAUAAAUAAAUGAAGUCGAUGGCCAUUUAAAAACAAAUAAGAAAAGUAUGUGACAGCAUAAGACUAUUUAAGUAAGAAACAUACUUAUUUUAUAAGAAUAAUGAUUAUUCUUAACAGUAUAUUAAGGAACGAUUUGAUUAGAUAUAAUUAGAAAUACACUAUAGUUGGAGAUACACUAUAGUUGGAGAUGUAUACAAUUGACUAAUUAUAUGUAUUUUGUUUGAUUUGAUAUAGUAGAAAAUGCUGCAAUUUAAAGAAUAGUUUGUUAAAUUGCAUGCAUCUGAGAAAUGCACUUUUAAAUUUUAUAACUUCAUAUAUGUGGUAGUGAGAUUGCCUACGAUACAGGAAAGAAAAAGCGUUUACUAUUUUAGAAGUGAUUGAGCAGAAAAGUUAACUACUGUAGUUUUAGCCAAGCAAAUUUAAGCGCACUUACAGCUGCUGUUGCAGCUAAAUCUCCUCAUACAAUUCUAAUUAUAGCAAUUAGAUUCAACUGCUAAUAGAAUCUAGGACCUUACACUAUACAGAUUUCACCUAAAGAGGGUAUCCAAGCCAAAAACUAAAAUGACUAUCUAUAACCCGUUAUAGUUCUAAGCAGCGAAAACUCGAAAAAAUUUCAAACUGAUACAAGCAAACAUGCGAAUGAUGGAGUUAAACAACAAGUGCAACAAUUUCAUAUUAAUGGAAACACUAGCGAAAAAUUUUAACUUUUAAGUACUUAUCUCAGUUGAUCUAAGUAGGUAACACAUAAGUUCCCCAUAAAAUUAAAGAACAACUCCGACGAAUAGAACUGCUUAACAAAAGUCUCAAAGGCGAAUUGAGAGCAAAACGACAUCCUCCUCAUUUCAGAGGAAUGAACCUGGAGGAGUGGGUGGCACCGAUACCGGGCCUGCCGUGCUUGACCGGCUUGUAGGAGAUGGAGAACUCUGCAAGGUAGUGGCCGAUCAUCUCGGGCUUGAUCUCAACCUGAUUGAACGUCUUCCCGUUGUACACCCCGAUGAUGCUCCCGAUCAUCUCGGGCACUAUGAUCAUGUUGCGGAGGUGGGUCCUCACGGGCUCAGGCUUCUCACCAGGAGGGCCCUCCUUUUUCUGUACAUAUGAAGUGAUUUAAGACAACAGCAGAAAAAAAAAAAAAAAAAAAGAGCACAGCAGAAAAAAAAAGGAAGAGCUUAGAUUUAACUCAACAUAACUCCAUUCAUCGGUGCUACUGCUCUACCAAAUCACAAAAAUGUAGAGGAAUCAUCUGCUCGUAUCAUGAAGAACUAUAUUACACUGCUUCAAAUUAAAAGAGUAUUUCAACAAAUCUACACGUGAAUGCCUUCUACAAUGGCUUGAGGGCUCUUGAACCUAAAAACUGACCCCAAAAAAAAAUCCAACAAAGCCUCAUUGGUUAUCGUUGGGAACCCUCACAACCUUUUAACAGCAGCAGUUUUUCAAAUCACAGAUACAAUAAUUAGAAAGAAAGAUUUAACACUUAUUUCAAACAAUUCUAAACUAAAAAUCAGAUCAAAGAUCAAAUCCAACAUAUAUUCAAUUUACAGGUAUUGGAAAUUUUGUGAGUAUGAGCUUAGAAGAAAAAUUUUGGGGCUAGGGCAGGAAAAAUUGAAAAUUGAAACAAGGAUACAAAAUGGAUCCCAAAAAUGACCAAGUGGUAUAUGUAGUGUAACGACCUAGCUCACUAGCACUAAUGACUUGUUGGGCUCAAACCAACGGCCCAAACUGCUCAAGCCGAAGUUAUUAGUAAUACUGCCUAACCAUAUGUAGAGCUCUCACACUCUCCCACAUUAUCCAAUAUAGGAUUACUGAAAUGUCACAAACUCUUCCCAUUUAGGCCCUGACAUGCUUGUCAGGCCCAAUUAAACACAAGCCUAAGAUCACUAGCAAACAUAAGACCCAUCUCACACUUUUAGUUAGCCAUUCUGGCUUCAAUACGAAACACAAGGACCCAAUCCUCCAACACCAGUAACUUUUUGGGCUCAAACCACUAGCUGAAAACGCUUGGGCCCAAGUUCUUAGUUAGCCAUUCUGGCUCUAAUACGAAACACAACGACCCAGUCCUCUUAACACCAGCAACUUUUUGGGCUCAAACCACUAGCUCCAAAUGCUUAGGCCCAAGUUCUUAGUUAUAAUGAGCCAGGUAUAUAUAAGGCUCUCACGCUCUCACAUAUUAUCCAAUGAGGGACUAUCGAAGUUUCACAUGUGACCUGAGCCUCUAUACGAUCUCAACGGACACAAAUAAAUAAGCCUCAUUGUUUAAGCCAAAUUAUAUGUUUGCACGACAGAGACAGUGGCAUAAAUCUACAGCCAAGUUCCAGCAGUGAUUGGAAAGAGACCCACCAAAACAUAGUAAUGGGAGAGGAGAAGAAAUCUAUGGAUAGGAAAGGAUGAAGAUAUCAAAAAAGAAAAGGGGCAAGAAGAGGUGCUCUGCAAAGCGUGAAGAAGGAGCUAUUAGAACCUAAAAUAGGUGUCUGCAGUCUACGCAGGAUCAGAUUCAUGAUUAUUCAAAUAUGCGUAUGGGCUGGUUGGGCUGGCCUAUUGUCAAACCUUCCUCAGGUCGGAGAGUACAGAUCUUUUGGCCCAAGUAAUCGAUCAUAAAAUCAGACUAAAAGUACACAGUUGAUCAUCAAAAACAACAAAAAGUGCUAGAACAUAAAACAUAUACAAGGAUUGGCCGCUAGCGGAAUUAAUAGCUAAAAAGUUCUUGCAUCAACCAAAUAGAAAGGCAUAUGCCAGUAAAGGGCCCAAGGUUCCUACAAAAAUCUCCAUAUGACAAGGAAAUAUCCACAUCCAACCAAGAAGGCAUCAUAUAUUCAAUUUCUUCGACUCCGCUCAAUACAAUAUAUUUACACCAGAUCCACUCAAUUUACGCAAAAUACAUACAAAUUAUAGACACAAAAUCCACACCUAAAGCAAUGAACAUCCACAAACAGGUAACACGGAGGAAAAACAAAUACAACACAGGUACUAAGAGAAAGAAGAGAUCAACAAAACUCACCGCCUUGCGCAACUUCUUGAUCAAAGCCAUCGGCUUCCGCUUCAAUCCGCGCUGAAACCUAACCCGACCCAACCAAAUCAAAUCCAACAAAAACAAUCAUCUCAACAGCCAAACCCUACCAAAAUUCUCAAUAGGAAACCAAAAAAAAAAAAAAGACAGAAAAGGGAGUGAGAGUUAGGGUUACCUCCUCCGAGCCCUCGCGUGGAAGAGCUUGACGAGCUCGUCGGUGGACAUGUCGAGGAGCGCGUCAAGGUCGACCCCUCUGAAGCUGAACUUCCUGAACGUCCUCUUCUUCGGCUGCCCCGCCGCGACAUCGGCGUCCACGUCGGCCUGCAUAGGCAAUCGAAAGAGAGAGACAGAGAGAGUGUGAGAUCGCGAUCUAGGGUGUCGAGAGAUCUCAAUGAGGGAGGAGGAAGGGGGAGCUCACCAUUGUUGGAGGAGGAGAAGGAGAGGAUGGGGCUGAGGAGGGUUCUUCCGAGAGGAGGCGGCGACGUGCUAGGGUUUGGAGUAGGGUUCGAGUGGUUUUUAUAGUGGAGGAUCUGUCACGUUCGAAUCACGUGAUCCAUCUCGUUUAUGUGCGUUUGGUGGGUAAAAGGGCUUUUUUUGGCAAAUAGCCCCCGACAAAUUUUAUUUGCAAAAAUAGUCCCGUCUAAAAAUUAUUUGCAAAAAUGGCUCUGCCCCUGCCACGCCAGCGCCACAUCAGCGCCACGCAGGCAGGGCGAGCCCAGAUGUUUAAGUUGAACACGGUGAACCAUUCACCAUGUCCAAUACAAAAAUUUUGUAUUGGACACGGUGAAUGGUUCACUGUGUCCAAUACAAAUACCCCAACAAUGGCUAAGUUUGAGGCAUUUGUAUUAGACACGGUGAACCAUUCACCCUGUCCAAUUAUUUGUAUUGGACACGGUGAAUGGUUCACCGUGUCCAAUACAAAUAGCUAUUUUGUAUUGGACACGGUGAACCAUUCACCGUAUUCAAUACAAAAACUUUGUAUUGAACACGGUGAAUGAUUCACCGUGUUCAACUUAACCAUCUGGCCCGGCCCCGCCCGCGUGGCGCUGACGUGGCACUUGCGUGGCGGGGCCAGGGCCAUUUUUACAAAUAAAUUUUUGACAGGGCCAAAUUUAAAAAAAAAUUUUAUAAGGAGGCUAUUUGCAAAAAAAGCCCUGGGUAAAAUUGACAGAGGCCCCUGAACUUUAACUAUUUUUCAAAUAGGCGCCUAAACUUUUGAUUUUGGAAUUAUAUUCUCUAAAUUUCAUCAAAUAGUUCAAGAGACCUCUUUCCUUAAUUAAAAUUAUUAAUUACAUAAUUGUAUUGGUCAUAUUAUUGCACACAGUUUUAUAAGCUUUAAAACACAAAUAAAUUUAUUUUCUAUUAUUCUAACAUACAAAAGGAGCAAUAAAUAAAAAUUUGGUUGAACCUAUUCUCCACUCGUCAUGAUUAGAUAUAAAAAUUAGAAGAAAUAAAUUUCUUUAUAUCUUGAAGUGUUAUAAAAUUAUGUACAUGAUAUUCAAUCAAAACGACUUUACAAUUAAUAAAUUUACUUGAGGAGAGAUAUCUAUUCAACUAUUUAAUAAAGUUCAGAAAAUAAAAUUAUCAAAAUUGAAAGUUUAUGUACUCCCUUGCUUUAAAGAGUUAAAAUUGAGUGGGUCUCUGUACAUUUUUAACCAUUUUAUUUUAUUUUAAAUUUUUUUUAUGGGUAAAAUAUGUUGUUAUCCUCUUUUGAUCCGAAUUCAAAAUUAUUAAACGGAACUAAAGUAAAUAACAUAAUUUGAUUCAACUUUUUCAAGUUGAUAUAAUUGUUAAAGAUUUACUUUUUGGUUCCGUUUGAUUUUGAAACCAAAUCAAAAAGAAAAUCAAAUAACCAUUGUUUGAAUCAAAUUGUAAACGCACUACAUUGCCAAAGUAAACCAGGUUACUUAGUCAGUAAGGUGAGGCCUCAGAAGAGCUCCCCCAAAUAGCUUCUGGUGAGUGAAGUACCCCAAACCAGUUACACAUUGCAGAUGAAACUCACACUAGAAAGAGUUAACAUUUCAUAUGUGACAUCCCAAGAUUUAGAAGUCUUACAUAUGAAACAUCUUAGAAACAUCUUAAUCCGAUUAUAACAUUUUGGACAGUUGUUACAUCCAAAAGAUUAAAAAGAUUAAGUGCGCUAACCUGCUAGGACUAGAGAAGUUCUAGAAUAGGUGACUCUUCAUAGUAUCAGAGCCAAUCAUUAGUCGAAAGUAUAAAAUGAGUCUUGUGUGAGCAAGGUUCACACAGCAGGCAGAGGACAACUCCCCAGGCUAACAAUCAUGGCGAAUGUUAUUCUCAAACAGGAAAGUUGAAAAUCAAAGAUACUAUAAGAAGAUGCUGAGACAACUAAAGGAAAUGUGAGCCAUCAUUAGCAUUUGCUUAUUUUCCAAUAAGAAAAGGUUUCAGAAAAGUUGAUAUAGAUAGAAAUAUGUAGCACAAAUAUGCAAAACUGCUAUGGGAAGAGAAUGUUAAUCCAAUGAUUUAUCCAUCAGAGAAGAAGUUCAGCGCCCAAAAACAAUUAGGUUUUAAACUAAAAGGCCGCAGUAGACCCAUUCAAAUCAUUCUAACGAAAUUGAGAGCAAAACCCAGGGAUGAAUUGCCUGAAAUAUUGUAUACAAACAAAUAAUUUUACAUCUCUAACAGUACCUAGGAGAUGGUACAACAUUGUAUUCAUAGCUUCAGUUUCCAAAUUUGCAAUACGAAUUUCCAUGAUUUAGUUUACUAUUUGUAUAACUUUACUAAUUAAUCGUAAAACUGCAGCGAAGAAAAGCAAGCGAUCCUGAUAUAUAGUGGUUCUGCCAGUCAUCCUGCACCAUACGCUUAAGAUGUAAAAAUGCAAUAAACACGCACACAAAAAGAAAAGGUCAAAGAAUGAAAGAACAGCAAGAACUGAACAAGCGGCUGCUCUGUGCUCAUCCAAUUCUAAGAAAAGAAGAUCCAUGUAUUAGACAGAAAAGAUAAUCAACUGCAAUUACAAAAAGGACCACACUGAAAGAAUUUACAUAAAGCCAAAUAUAGUUUUCCCUUUGCCAUUUUGUCGGCCACAUUAUUCAUUAGUCAACUUGCUGAGGCUACCGAAAAAGAAAACAAGUCUAACAGCCUACCAAGUACCAAAAACGGAUAUGCCUAUUAAUACACUGUGCAUUUUCAGCUUACUGCAUGAGAGACUUUGCUAGCAUAUGUUUCUUCUCUAUAGCAGCACUACAAGAAAUUAUGGAUCUUUAUAGUAGAAAAGACAGGAAACAUACAAAAAUGGUACUUAUCUUCAAGUCUUUGACUUCAGCUUCAUGCGUGCGAGAUAACUUCGUUAUGGGUUUCAAAUGUAGACAUUUAUCAGUAUCAAUGGGAAAGAAGGGAACAUUAUGGCGUGAGAAAAGGAAAAAGAGGGGGAAAAAAGAGGUGAAUAAUAAUAAAAAAAUAAAUGAAAAAUGAAGCAAGGGGUCAAAAUGCCUAAAGAGAUUAAAACUCAAUCCAGUUACAAAUUCAUCUUGCACGUUGCAAGAUAAUUCCUCAAAUCCCCUAAUAACAACUGAUCAGACAGUUUUGAUAUAUCUACUAUGACCCUUCUAAACUCUCAUAUAUAAGGUAAAAAUCAGAAAAAACAAAUCAGUCAGGUUUCCUUACGAUUGACUCAUAAUUUUGGUAGACUUUUAACUUCUUAAAGUCUUUAAAUUGUUUAGAAUAUUAAAGUUAAGAGAAAGAAGAAGUUUGAGAAGAAGAGCAUGAGAAUUAUGUCGAAUAGAAUCACAUCAAAUAUUUAUUAACUAAUAUCAUAUCAUGGUAGAACUAUAUAUAAUCUGAACAAGAUAUAGAGAACAAUGAUUGUACAAUGUCAAGGUUCGAUCAGACCACAUCUAGACAAACCUAUUCAGACCUUGAUAACAUCAAGAUGGUAGGCAUCCGUAAAAUUAUCGAUCACCAGUUCGACUCUGGACAGCAAGCGAACUUCCCAUCUAUUAAAUCUCUAAUCGGACUAGUUAAACUGUUGAUGGACAAGAGUUGAUGCUAGCAAAAUAGAAAAUCCAGAUCCAGCUAAAACUAGAGCAUGUUAGUUUUGGACCUAACUUGUAUGUGCUCAAAGUAAUCCUCUUCAUCAAAAUUAGGUUGCACACUUGCAUUGUUAGUUUGUCUCCACAAAAUUGACUUACAUCUAUAUGACUAUAUCGUACCUCUUAUAUAGCUGAAGAUGUAUAUAAUGUAUGUAUAGGUUCUUUGUUAGCUGCAAAGUUGCUAUAUUUUUCUAGUCAUAUUCCAAAACCCCUAUGGCCACAUAAAACCCAAUAAUCUGUGAAUAAGGCAAUGUGAAUGUUGUUGUUUUAUGUCAAAGAGCACCUUACGUAACAAAGUUCAUCAGAAAAAAAUGUAAAACUUUGGAAUGUCCUCUACUCUUUACCUAGAUGGAUAUCCGCACUAUCCAAAAAUUGAGAGAUAUUGGCAAUCAACUAAUGAUUAGACUUUUCUCACGUGUUAUAUUAAAUAACAGGCUAAUGAUUAUAUAAAGUUACCCACGUAGACUUUCACAAGUUAUGCAAGAAAAGAUUUAAGCCCAAUCAUCAGGAAUUUCACAAAAUGAUGUAGAAAUUUGCAGUCGUAUCCUAAUCUCUCGCAACACUGGCACAACGAAUGGAUCUUUACCAAUUGAGCCACAGCAGCAGCAGCAAAAAUUUCAGAUUACAUCAUGGAUACAAGUUUAAUUUUCAAAGCACCUGAAAUAGUUCGAUUUCAAGCAACUUUCUUCCAUCAAGUAUGGAAAUAAACGGAUGCAACCAACAGAAAGCCGUUAAAAAUGAAGAAAAGAGAAUGCUUAACACGAGCACUCACGAUCUGUCAGACGAUCUAGCGACUUUCUUUUUAGUUAUCUCUGGUGAAGCAAAUUACGGGAAACAAAGAAAAGCAGUGUAAUCCUGUUCCAACAUCUGUCAAUGACAUAAACUCUGAACAAGGAUUAUAAGGAUUAGUCGCGAAAUAAGAGUUCGCGACACUAACCGCUAACAUGUAGAGGCUCAAUACCCCAACUAUUCUACGCAGGAUGAAGCAUGACCAAAUCAAUCUCUUAUUCAUAUCGAAUUUGAAUUCCUUCACAGUAACAGUUCAAAUACCUCUAAAUACCUCUAAAGUUUUUACAGAAAAGGAAUAAAAAACGGAGCAAAGGAGUCACCUUCAAUACAUCCCGCGACUGUUGUUGAGGAUCGAACUGAGGGUCCCCAACACAGCGAACGCGAGGAGAGGGCUAACGUCGAGGGUAUCGAACACGGGCGGGAUGAUGUUGCGGAAGAGGUUGAGGUAGGGGUCGCAGAGGUCCCGGAUCGCGGAGAGGGGCUGGCGAUCCCAGGGGAUGUUGGGGAACCAGCUGAGCAGGACCCGGACCAUGAGGACGCCGCUGUAGAUGUCGAGCCACUUGGCCAUGCCCGCGGCGACGACGGUGAGCGGCGUGUUGAGGUACCCGGAGGGGCGGUCGCGGAGCGCGGCGAAGAAGAGGGGCCCGCCCAUGGGGGAGAAGGGGAGCUGCGGCGCGGAGGGGGGCGGCGCGGCGACGAAGCGGGAGAGGAGGGCGCGAGAGGCGGAGAGGGCGAGGGAGAGGAGGGUGGUCAGGGUGCGGGUGGAGGAGGAGAGGAGAGGAGGGGGAGGGGCGAGGGAGGAGGAGGAGGAGGAGGCCUUUAGGGUUAGGGUUAGGGUUUUGGAGCGGAGGGGAGAGGGGGAGAGGCGGAGGAAGAGGAAGGGUCGUCGGGGAGUAGGGUUAGGGUUAGGGUUUCGGAGGGAGAGGGCGGCGGCGGUGGAGGAGACGAGGGUGGCGGCCAUUGUUGACGUGGGGUUUGGGAAGCGUGAGGGAAGGCGAAGGGGAUAAUGGUGUGGGUUUCGUUAAUUAUUUUGCGAUGUUACUCGUGUAGAAGAUAAAGAGUAUCUAUACUUCUAUACUAUAUACUAAAAUCCGUGAGGAGUUUUUGUUUGCGACGCAAGUCGAUAUGGUAUAGUGUAACUGGAUCUAAGUCAAAAAAUAUAACUUUAUUUCAAUAAAUAUAUUUAAAAUUUAUACUUUUUUAAACAUACAUAUUUUGAAUAUUAUAAAAUAUAAUCAAUAAAUUAAAUUUUAAUUUUUAAAUUGUUUAUAAUUAAUUUUUAAAGGUAUCAUGUAUAAUAUUGUAAAUCGAAUCCAAUACACCAUAAAUUGGUAAUAAAUUGAUAAUAAAGAUAUUGAGUGCACCUUGUGCAGUAUAGAUAAUGAAACUGCUCUAUUUCAAUUGGAUCUAUUGGGGAGAUAAUCUCUUAAUGUGCCAGCGUGUACUCUCUCUUUUACUUAAUUUUUAUUUAAUUUAAUAUUUAUAUUUUUUUCUUUUCUCUUUUCCUCUCUCACCGAGAAAUAUGCAUGUUACUUUCCUUACUCGCUCAGUUUAAUUUUUAAUUUAAUGCUUUCUUUUUUUCCUUUCUCCAAACAAAAGAUAUAAAUAUUUAAAAUAAUUUUAAACUUUAAUUUAGUAAUUAUAUAUUUUUAAAAAUAUUUAAUGUUUAUUUUUUAAAAUUAUGAGUAAAAUAUACUAUAUUUGAAAGUUUAAAAAUGCUCUCUCUCUCUCUGACUUCAAUUUUUACUUCAACUUUUAUUUGACGACAUUAAACGACUUUACAAGUUUACAUAAUGUAUAAUAUAAUAUAAUAAUUGUGAGUUUAAAAAUUGCACCCGCUGCAAAGCAUGGGUAUAUUGCUAGUAAUAAAUAGUUUUUUAUGGGGAUGUAAUAGUUGAAUUAUAUAGGAAUUUUUGGUGCAACUAUUACCACUAAAAAAUAUUGCUGUUUGUGACACAGAAAAAUAUUUUUAUUUUCAGUAACAGAGCAUUCGAUAUUAUUAGUAAUCCAUUUUUUUUGAACUUUUUUUAGGAUUUAAAUUUCAUAAAUCUUUCAGCACACUUUUUUAUUAUUUUAGUGGUCUUAAAAUUGGCUAUUUUAAACGACUAUUAUCAUAUAAAUUUAAAAUCACUAGAAUAUUAGAUAAAUUAUGUUAAAAAAUUAUAAUAUUUAAGUUUUAUAAAAUUUAAAUUUACAGUCGAACACGUGCCGGCUCGCUCAUUCGCUAGCCCUUGUUCUAAAUCAAUUUUCUAAAAUAAGACAAAUUAUAUCAUAGAUAAUAUAUAUAUUAUUCUAUCAAAUCAUAAACAAUAAGACUUUUAAGGGGCAAAUAUCAAACUCCUACUUUAGAAUUAUAUAUAUAUAUAUAUAUAUAUAUAUAUAUAUAUAUACACUGAAUAAGUUAUCAAAUAAUAGAUGAUUCCAAAGUCCAAACAAAGCGUAAAUAGUUCUUAAAAAGGAAUAGGUAGCAAAGUAGAACCUUAAUAAAAGUUCAGAGCUACUAGUACAAUUACCCUAAUUUUUAAAUGCCAUAUGGUUGGAGCAUUACCAUUCAAUUUCACCUCAAAUUUCCAGUCCCUACCACAAAACUGCUUCUCAAGCCCCGGAAUUAGUAACAAAAAGAUUAUAAGCAUUUACUGUGACUAGAAGCUAAUUGAUAAGUUUUUGUUGUAUGAGAAGCUACAGGAGAGAGAUGAAGCUCCAGCAGUAUCAAACAUGCCUCAUAUAAAAACUCAAUUGAAUCUACCUACUUUAAAAGUGCCUUAAACACCCAUAUAUAUCAUCCAAGAGAUGCAGAAAAUAAGGAAGCAAACACUGGCUAUUCACACUUCACAUUGCUCUUACCCCCUGAAAGUCGCAAGUCCGGCGCAGAAGCAGCUGCUGAUCUCAAACCCUAAUAUCGGGCAUUCAACUUCAUACAGUGAACUAUAAAUGAUGUACAUGUGAAAAAAGAUUAGAGCUGCAUAACCGCAAAAAACUUCGUGUUAUUACUAUACCGUAUGCGCAACAAGCCUUACGCUCAAUCCUCUUUCUACAUUAUACUGUUCAAUAUUUUUCGCACAACUACGUGAUCUGAAAGUUUAAAAAAGGGUAAACAGACAUAAUUACUAUUUCAUCGAACGCCCAAUUUAUGAGCUUGUAUCUGAACUUCCGUGAGAGGUUCAGAAUUGCGUCUGUGCCUUGCUCCCCGAGACACUCUCAUUGUGCUAUCCCUGGACUAUAAAGCUAGAAAAAACCAUUACCAUCAAACCUAACCUAGUAAGCUAUAACAACCUGAUCUUCAGCUAAAAUUAAAGCUAAAGAACAUUUCCAUCAAACCCUAACCUGGUAUGCAAUAACUACCUGUCUUCAGCUACCCUCGCAUUCUACACAAAAUCGUAUAUUUUCAGCAAAAGGGACUCUAUAACGAAGCACCGGCUAAUGGACAGCUGCAAGCUUCAAGUGUAUACCAGCUUCCUCCAGCUUACUGCACAGAGUAUCAAAAGGUGAAUAUGAGAGAUGGUGUAGAAAUAGAUAAAACUGAAGGAACAAAAGAAAGAAUGCAACCAAUUAACUCAAAAUCUUAAGAUAUGGACAGAUGGCCCUGUGAAGCAUCAUGUAAGAGAUUAAUCUCGAAAAGCUUCAGCAAAUAGCUUCCCAACGUUGGUUUAGAAAAGCUUAUGCAUUGUGCGGAAAAUGAACUAGAUAUCACACUCAAGGAAUAUUCUAAGAAAGUCAUAUUGAAAAAUAUGAGGCGCCAUUUAAAAUAACAUAACUAAACUCAAAUAAUAUGCAAUUCAAUGCAGGGGCAGAUGGAGUUCUCUGUUAUUGUAAUUGUGAUUGUUUGUUUGCUUACAAACUUGUCUUAAUAAUAAAAAAAAAAAAAGAGGAAAUAAUUGCGACUUUUUUACGUUUCUUGUUGCCAUACAUAUUGUACAGAUUGCAAACACUCCAUCACCAAGUGAAGCAUUCAAGCACAUAGAAUUUGAGUUUAAAAAGAAAAAGGAAAAUGUAAUCAGUACUAAAGGAGGCCUAGGUUAGCAUUCAACAUGGAAGGCUCGAUGGCAGUUUCAAAUAUAGUGGUUGUUUGGCAUGACACAAACACUCAAUGCAGUACAGUCAAAUAUUCCCUGACAGGAAGUAAGUUGGAUAAUAUGUGUAACUCACCAUCUUUCUUUCAGUUAAUAUUUUUCUUUACUUUUACUACAGGGAUUGAAGAAUCUUCUCUUUCAGGUUACAUAACCUUCUAAAGUCUCAAGUGAUGCAUUCUACUUUGUAUAAACAAAACCAACUUAAAAAGUAUCCUGCUCAUUUCUAUCUCCUCAAUUGAAUUUUUAAGUAAAUACCAGUCAAUAAACAUUCCUAUAAAGGCAAUACAACCUAACUUUCCAUUUUGAUGUCAUUUCAAAUGCUAAACAUGCUAUUCAAAAUCCAGGUAGGAUUAGUCAUUGACUAUUGGCUCUCACAGGAAGCUUAGGAAAGAAAUCAGCUGAAGGAAAGCCAUUACUCCAAUUUUGCAUUAUCCAUGAAGCCUAGGCACAUGUGAUCUUAAAAUUUAAUCACAAGGCAUUCCAAGCCAAGGCUCAAUCAAUUCCAAGUCAGAAGUCUACUUUUGGCCAACUAUGUUUAGAUAGGUUAUGUUUUAUUGUUUCGACAUGGUAUUUCCUAAUUCUACGGAUUAAUGUAUAGUUUGCUAUAAUUCCUAAGAGUCAUAGUCGAAGAAAAAUCCUCCCAAAUUGUAUAGAUGAACAACCUACCUGAUCCCUAUUUUGUAUCAUAUCAAAGGGUGAAUGCUCACAAAAUUAUAUGCAAAGAAGGCUCGUAAAAAUGCGGACAAAGGAUACACCUUCAGUCUUUCUUAUACUUGACAUGGGAAAACUAACACAAGAUUAUAAAUAUCUUUAGAUUCCAUUAAAAGCAAGAUAUGAAUCUUAUUGUAGCCUUAAGUAUGUCAUAAAGUCCAUCUCUAAAGUUUCUCAUCUAUGGAGGUUUCGGUGCUAAACAGAAAAGUUGUUUCACAUAGUUAAAGCUGAAUUGCAGCUAAAUUUGAUCUCAGUGAGGGAGAAGGCCAAUAAAAAUCCAUUGAAAACUAUAACAAAAGACGGAGAUCAACAUAAUCUUCUAGCCACAGUUGGCUAAAAAAAUAAUAGUAAACCAAUUAAGUCUCAAAGAACUUCAACGGCGAUCAAGAGAAAAACCUUAAAUAUAAAAGUGAUUGUAGCAGAGAGAAAUCUCUAAAGACUAUGUAAGUCCAUAAUAAUUCCCAUUUACUUUACAUUUUGAAAGAGACCCCUGAAAUUUCUUUCUUUUUGUUUUUUAUCCUAUUGACGACUUCUCGACUUUUAUGUACUUUCAUUGAGUUAUAUUCAUUGAUUAAAUUGAGAAUUUCACAGUCCAUUAACCAUCAAACGAUGAUCAAAAACAAAAAUUGUAGUUCGGCCAACUGAGUAGAAUCCACAAUUCAAGUGAUGGAAGUUGAUCGAAUCAAAGGAAAGAAUCGUCAGAGGGUGUCAAUCAAAAACAAUAAAGUUGAGGGAUCUAUUUCAAAAUGGCCUAUAAUCUACUUUCAACUAAAUAUUUACAAAGUAAAAUGCUGGGACAACCCUUGACUUCAGGCCAUUCACACCAAAGCUUCAUUAUUAUUAUUAUUUUUCCUACUAUUGAGACAUUCACAUGAUAUCAAUUGAAGAUUAUAUUAAGAUUAAUGAUGAUAUUGUUAAAUUGUAUCAGACAUGCAAGUUUUGAAGAUAAACAAAAAAGCUGAUUUUAACGCCUGAUAGCAAAUGAAGUGAUUAAGUAUGACAAAAAAUAUCCUUAAUUCAAAUAACCGGAACAAUUCAAGCUACAAUCAAAUUCAAAAAUCAUAGUCAAGUGCGGCUCCUUAAAUAAUUACAAACAUUCAUAGCGCAAAUUACAAAAAAAAAUUGAAACAACGAAUUCGAAGAAACAGAGGGAGGAGCUCGACCUCUUCUUAGUUGCGGCGCGAGCCGGUCACUGCAUGGGCGGGCUCCGUUGGAGGAUGGAGCUGAUCACGCCGAGCACGGUGAGCGCGAGGAUCGGGCUGAAGUCGACGUUGCCGAGGGGGGGCAAGACCUUGCGGAAGAUGGAGAGAUACGGGUCGCAGAGGUCGCGGAGGGCGGAGAAGGGCUGCCGAUCCCACGGGACGUUCGGGAACCACGUGAGCAAGAGGCGCACGAGGAGCGCCUCGCUGAAGAGGCGGAGCCACCGCGCCAUGGCGGCGACGGCGGCGACGAUCGGUGGCUUGAAGUAGGCGGCGGGGUUGUCGGAGGCGAGGGGGAAGAACGGGGCGCCCAUGGCGGAGACCGGGCCGUGGUGAUUGCGGCGUCCGUGGCGGAGGCGGAGGGGGUGGGGCGAAGGGGUCUCCAGGGCGUGGAUCGGGCCAUGGCGGAGGCGGAGGUGGGCGGAGGAGGAGGAGGCGCGUAGGGUUGCGGUUGGAUGGGGACGGGGAGGUAAGAGGAGAAAUUGGGGACGAGGGGGGUUAGGUUUAGGGUUAGGGUUUCGGAGGAGGAGGGGGAAGAGGAGGAUGGUGGAGGAGGAGGACGAGAGCGCGGUUGCCAUUGUUAGCACCUUCUAGCGUGUUGCAAAAGUAAUAAUAAUAAUAAUAAUAGCGCAUAUAUAUAGCGGAAGGAACGUCGUAAAAUAUGCAAGAAGACCCCUCAACUUUAGCUAUUCGCAACUAAGAAACAAAGCCGUUAACUCUUUUUUUUAUUGAAAAAAUUUUGGGUUGCAUUGUCUUACAGAGGCAAGAAUCACUGCUUAAACUAGUAACAUAUCAUGACAUCAUAAAUAUUUUAUUAUUAUUUUUAAUUUUAUUAUAUAAAAAAUUAUUAUUAUUUUAGUACCAUACUUAAUUACAAAAUACUAAUUUUUUAUUUUUUAUUUUAUAUAAGUAGAUAUAAGUUUUCAAGUUUACUUUUUAUCAGAUUAAUCUAUACUAAUAGAAAAUAAAAUCAGUUAACUUUAUUUUAA